Molecule: long non-coding RNA, 67513 nt
Filed under: Prunus persica (peach)
Lineage: Eukaryota; Viridiplantae; Streptophyta; Magnoliopsida; Rosales; Rosaceae
Description: long non-coding RNA (PPER_LNC007441)
Source: RNAcentral
UUCUUCUUUCUCUUCGCCACAUUCCUUGAGGAUGGUUAUGAGACUCUCUCAAGUUUGCAGACACAAAGUUGUGGUGUCUGUUCACUUCAAUUCAACCCACCCUCAAGUCAAUCUCUCUAUCUCUCCCUCGCUCUGAAGUUCGACCCCCAAACCCAUCCGUCUCAUCCAAUCCUCAUACCUCCUCGCAAAACCCAACCCAACUAUCUUCUUCCCACCUUCGAAUCUUCGCCACCAAAAAUCAGCAAUUCAUUAUAGGGCUCGAAGGAAGCUCUGUUUCACUAUGUCGUCAUGGAGGACCAAAAGCAGAGUACCCAUCUUGAGAAUUGCACAGAAAGAGCCCAAGAGGCUGCUGAUUCUCAGAACCCAAUUGUAAUUCCGUCCGUACGUGUGGCUGAGAAGUUGUCCAGGAAGAAAUCGGAGAGGUUCACUUAUCUUGUUGCUGCGGUGAUGUCCAGCUUUGGUAUUACUUCCAUGGCUGUCAUGGCUGUUUAUUACAGAUUUUACUGGCAAAUGGAGGUAACCAAUUUCUCUCUGCUCCCUAAACCACAAAAGUUACGAACUUUAUCUUCUCUGAUUGAGUUUUUGAAUUGGGUGAUUUUGUUUUCUGUGUAGGGUGGGAAUGUGCCUUUGUCUGAAAUGUUGGGUACAUUUGCUCUAUCUGUUGGUGCUGCUGUAAGUUCACUGACAACAUCCCAAUUGGAGAAACUUAAUUAAAUUAAAUUGAUUUUGAAGUUUUUUUCUUUACACUGAAAACUACUAAAUCGAUUUGGAUUUUAUAUAUGUAUAUUUUAGGUGGGAAUGGAGUUUUGGGCAAGAUGGGCUCAUAAAGCUCUCUGGCACGCUUAUGGCAUAUGCACGAGGUUUGCUUCGAAUUUUGCUACUUUUUAUUAUCUCUUUGAUGCCAACUCCUCAAAAUUUUGUUUCUUUUCAUUCACUGGGAAACCAGCAAUGAAAGAAACAUGACAAGCUUGAGUUUUUAUGUUGUUUUUCCAUUUAGUUUCUUAGCAACCAAUCAGUGUUUGAUAUUUGAUAUGAACUUUAAUUGCAGUCUCACCACACAGACCCAGAGAAGGUCCAUUCGAGCUUAACGAUGGACUGAAACAGAGAAAGAAGAGAUAAGGAAUCUGGUGGAGAGAAAGAAGAAGAAAGAAAGAAAGAAACAGAGAGGGAAAUGAAAUAAAUAAAUAAAUAAUAUUUUUUUAUAAUUUUGGAUUGAUUUGACGAUUAUAUCCCUAGGUUUAACAGAUUUUUUAACAGAGGGAUUAUUUAAGAGCACCUAUAUUAACGUUAGGGACCAUGCGUGAUACAAAAAAACUUUAAGGAUGCAAUCUGAUAGUUUCGCAAACGUCAGGGAUGUUUUGUGAUAAAAAGCCUUGUUUUUUUAUGGUUUUGGCAGUGUUAGUUAUUCAUAUAGAAUGCAGGCUCAGAGUUAGAGUUUAUAAGAAAUUAUGAUUCUUGGGUAAUGGCCUAAUAGUAAUGGAUAUUGCUCUAAAUUACUCUUAGGGAAAGAAAAAAAAAAAAAAGUAUGGCCGCGCGGCUCUACUCUGUAAAUAUAUUAUUUUAAAGAAGUACAGCCGCGCGGCUAUACUAUUUAUUAUUAUUAUUAUUUUUUAAAAAGGAGCCGCCUAGACCGCCUAGCCCGCCUAGCCGGCCGAUUUUCUGUUCAAGUCUGGAUAUUUGGAUAUGGUUGUGCAGGCUAAAAUUAGAGGGUAUGGCUCCAAUUCUAAGAUGAUUACGUUAACUGGGUCUCUUUUCUUUGACUGAAUUCUUAAUUAUUUAUGAGUUUUCUGUCAAAUGUUUUUUGUGUUUAGAACUGUAAGUUUUGAUACGGAAAUGGGUUUUCUGCGCAAGCUUGAAUUUGUAGAUUUGGUUGUGUUGCCCCCUGUAAAUUUGGUUGAGUUGGUUGUGUUGGUUUAAAUUAGAGAGAACUCGUUAUAAAAAUCGCGAGACUCUCAAUUUUUGAGGGAGCGUCUCUUGUGAUGAUGAUGAUGAUAAAGGUUAUAUUGUAUGAGGGAUGUGGUUUAGUCUCAUAAAUCAUAAAGGGGAAUAUUCCUUUUGCUGCUCUUUUCUGCACUAAUACUUGUACCUGCAGGUUAGGCUUGAACUGAUGGGAAAGAAGGCAAAGAAUGCAACCAAUAUUUCUGGAAAUGAGGCUGGGAAAAUUUCCAAAGAGAUUUAGAAAGUGGAGAAGAGAAGGAUUGUUAAGAGUACUCUUUGCAAUGAAAGAAGUUCUCGGAGCUAUUGCAUGGUAGGAUUCCCUUGGACUUUCAAAUAUAUGAUAAUUCUUCCCCAGGUCUUGUCACUAGUUGGAUAUAACUUGCUUUCUAUUUCUGCACAGAUAAUCCUUGAUGUCCCAACAGUAGGAGGACGCUUGAUGCUUGUGGACAUGGCUGGCUCUGAAAAUAUUGAGCAAGCUGGCCAAAUUGUAUUUGAGGCAAAAAUGCAGGUAAUGUCUUGGUGGUGCUUAAUUUAUGCUGAUACUGCAUGCAGCACUUCCAUUGUCAUUGUAACAAAUGUUAAAUUAUGGUUAUAUUGAAUUCACAGACUGCAAAGAUCAACCAAGGAAACAUAGCUCUCAAAAGAGUGGUUGAAUCCAUAUUGCCAAUGGUGAUUCUCAUGUGCCUUUCAGAGACAGCAAACUGACCGUGCUUCUACAGGUAACUUUUAUUCACACUAAUGUCAGUUACUAGGGAUUAUAUUGUGCCCUGCCUUCUAACCUUGUAUGUGAAUGACAGUUCUCAUGUUCUUUUUGUGCAGGAUUCUUUCGAAGAUGAUAAAACAAAAAUUUUAAUGGUACUGUGUGCAAGCCCAGACCCAGAGGAAAUACACAAGACAAUCUCCACCCUUGAAUAUGGUGCGAAAGCAAAAUGUAUUGUCCGUGGUCCUCAUACGCUAAUCAAGGAUAAAAUUGGUACUGAAGAUUCAUAUGCUGUUAUUUUAGGAUCAAGGAUUGCUGCCAUGGAUAAAUUCAUCCCUAAACUGCAAAGGGAAAAUAAGCUCAAAGAGAAAGAGCGAAAUGAAGCACACAGAGAGUUACAGAAGAAAGAAGAGGCUGCUUCACUGAGAGCUAAACUUGAGCUUAUGGAAGGGAAAAUAUGCUGAUAGGGUAUGCCUAAGCACUGUUUUUGAGGAAGAAGAAAUGGAAGAAGAGGAAGGACUUAAGGAAAAUGUGGAAGCUGAAGAAGUGGAGAAAGAAGUUAUAGAGGAAAAGAGAGUGUGCAUGGUUGAUGGGUCUAGCCUCCAGAGUAAUUAUAAUAUGGGAUCCCUGACAUCUUUACCUAAGGAUUAUCAACAUACACCAACUGUGAAUCGGCCAAGCAGAAAUCCAGGGGAAGGAGAUGGCAAGGGGGGACCAAAUGAUAGGCUUGUCAGGAUCCGCAACAUAUUUACACUCUGUGGAAACUACAGAGAGCUCUCUCAACAUGUGACAACUCCAGCACCUACUGUUGCAUCAGUUAAAUCAGAAAAUGAGCAGAAACUGACAGAAGAGAUAAACAAAAGUCGAGUAUGUGAUGAGAUGGCAUUGGCUUCCAAGGAGAACUACAACCCUUCACUGAUGCGGAUACUGAAGUGUAUGUGAAAUGGGAGGCUUCAAAAGAGAAUCCAGGGAAGUUCAUUACAACACUUAAGGUUGUAAAAGAUGCAAGCCUUGCUGACCUGCGAAAGUUGAUUGCAAUUUAUCUUGGUGCAGACAAUCAAGCAUUCACUUUUCUCAUGCUUGGGGUAUAUCAUUUCUAAAUUCUCUAGCUUGUUGAUCUCUUCUUAAAAAAUGGAAAACUUUAUUAAGACAAUCAUGCUAACAUGGUUGUUUUUACUGACAAAAAAGUUGUUAUAAAUCAAGAAAUAUAGUGCAUCUCUGUGAUUAAGAAACCUUGAUUCAAACUUCUAUUCUGUAUAUAUGCAGGACCCCACUGGAGCUUCAAUAAAUCAAAUGGCCACCUUGCUAGCUUGAGACCACUGAAGGGAAUGCAAAGCCCAAGUCAGCUCCCCUUAAUUCCUCUCCCAUUGAAAUCACUGGAAAAUAGACUACCACUAAUUAAAAUAAUUUAAAAAGACUAAGAUUUUACUAAAUAACAUAAAUUAAAUUAAAGAAGGUCGCCAAAAAACAAAAGUAAAGAAACUAAUUUUAUACUUUUAAAUAAUUAAUUACUAUUUAUUAAAUCAGUAAAAUAUUUAAAUAUUCACUAAAGAAACAAUAAUUAAAAUGUAAUAACUAAUUAAAGUAAUUAAAAAAGAUUAACAUUUUAUUUAAUUACAUAAAUUAAAUUAAAGAAGGUUGCCAUAAAACAAAAGUAAAGAAACUAAUUUUAUACUUUUGAAGCGUAUAGCCGCUCGGCUAUAAGUUUAGAAUAUUCUUUUUAAAUAGUAUAGCCACGCGGCUAGACCUUUAAAAUAGAAUAUUUAUAGUGUAUAGCCGUGCGGCUAUACUCUUUUAAUAUAUCACCAACAAUAAAAAUAUGGAUUUAUGUGUAGCAAAAAUAUGGAUUUAUAGUGUCAUAUUUCCUUAAAUAUAUUCGAAUAUUUGAGUAAUUUAUGAAAUCAUUAAAAUAUUUAAACAUUAAAUAAAUAAUAAUAAUUAAAAUAUAAUUAUUAAUUAAAGUAAUUAAAAAAGGCUAAGAUCUUACUUAAUUACAUAUAUUAAACAAAAAUAGUUGGCAAAACACAAAAGUAAAGAAACUAAUUUCAAAUAAAAUAAAAAAACCUCUCCCGACGAAUGAUUUUGUCAGCAGAGACCUAAGCUACCAAACAUUUGUCGGAUGAGACUUCUCCUGAUGAAUGUUGGCCGGCAUAGGUCUAUGAUAUUACUAAUCAAAGUAAUUAAAAAAAACUAAGAUAUUACUUAAUAACAUAUUAUUAAACUAAAGAAGUUGGCAACCAAAAAAAAAAGUGAAAAAACUAAUCCAGCAAUAUCAACUAAAGAAAGUAAUGCCAUAUAUAAAUUUUGAUACAAUCACAAAACUAACCAGGCUUUGAAUCAAAUGUCACGGGGAUAUCAACUCAGGAAGUCCAAUUUGGGCUUGAAUUCCCAGGGAUAUAUAAUAGGAAUUCAUUAAAAGGAUUUCAUUAAUAAGAUUAAAAUGAAAUGUUUUCAAGUCACAAAUCAUUCCCCAAAUUCAAAACGGCGUCGUUUUAUUUUGGUAUUAUCAGAAAGAAAACCAGGGCGCAGUGGUCAUCUUCUUCACAAGAACUGCGCCUCAGUUGCAACUGCAAGAGAUUUUCCGGCAAGGGGAGGUGCAGCUGCACCUCCUUGCGCCUUAAUAGGUCCGCCAGUAACAGCUUUGGUUUGCUGCAAUGGGAACCAAGGGCAGCUUGUGUUUUGCAAACAGCAUGGCGUCGCUGUAAAAUAGAGAAGCUUCAAAAGUCUCCCAGGUUGGCUAAAGAGGGUAGUCUUUCUGCCACCGAUCACCAUGCUGUCUCAAAAACACAGCAUAAGUAGGUAUGGCUAAUAAACUGUUAAAGCAUUGAUGUAAUUCAGGCAGUGUUCGAAAAAUCGGCCUUGGCGGAAGGACACUGUUGACCAAACAUGUUAAGCUACGGCUUCAACAUUGUUAUCAAGCCAUUUUGUUUCAGAGUGCCUGCUCAUUUAACCAGCCAGUGUUUGAAAAAUCGGCCUAGACGGCGCUUAAGAGCUAGGCGGCUGCCCGUAGGGUUUUUAUGGUGGCUCUUUUAUUUCUCCUGUUUUGAUGAUUUUAGAUUCACAUGUUAAGCUAUGGCUUCAACAUUGUUAUCAAGGCAUUUUGUUUCAGAGUGCCAACUCAUUUAACCAGCUAGUGUUUGAAAAAUUGGCCUAGGCGGCCGCCUAGAGGGUGUUCAUGGUGGCUCUUUUAUUUAUCCUGUUUUGAUGAUUUUAGAUUCACAUGAUAAGCUACGGUUUCAACAUUGUUAUCAAGGCAUUUUGUUUCAGACUGCCUGCUUAUUUAACCAGUCAGUGUUCCAAAAAUCGGCCUAGACGGCACCUAGGCGCUGGGCGCCCGCCUAGGCGGCCUGGGCGUGUCCUGGUGUGUCUGGGCGAGUCUGACUCAGAAAAAUGAGAUGAUGAUGAUGCUAUGUGUGAGAGAGAGAGAUGAGGAUUGAAGAAGAAGAUAGGUCGUGGGUUAUGUAUGAGCGAGAGAGAGGAGACAGCUCGGGUUAGACUUAGGGUUUGAUAUUUGCUGUGUGUGUGUGUGUGUGUGUGGUUUUUGUUGUUCUUAGGAUGAGCUUUUGUUAUAUAGUUGUUGUUUUGUCUAGUUUUUAAAGUAAUUAACAUGAGAUAUGCUGUACAGAAUGUUAGCUUAUGCUUACUGAAAGUGUAUACUGCCUAGCUUGUUGCAUGUUUGCAGCUGUUUUUAAGUUGAUCACCUUUCAGCUUUCCUGCUGAAGGCAAUUUAUGGGUCCUAUCAAUAAAGAAAGAAAGCUAGUCUCAUGCCAGGGAUAUGUUUCUAUUUCUAGACAUCCUAAGAAAUAUUAAAUAUAAUUGAAGCAAAUCAAGGAGCAUUUUUAGAAUGCUGACUUGUUGGAUUUUGCCAUUGUUUUUAGAAUGAAUGUUGCUCUGAAAGUGCUGUCAUGGGCAUUUAUCUAUAAUCAAUUGGGCGGAUGUUCGCUGUUGCAGUUUCUGAGACCCUCCGGAAAGUUUGUAUUCUCUAACUUCUGGGUUCCAGUUCGUAUUCUCUAACUUCUGGGUUCCGUUUUUACCUUUUCGCAGUUUAUCUUAUAGCUCAAUUUAAUCAAAGAUGUCUGCAUGCUAGAAACAUGAUAAUUGUAUGUAAUAUGCAUAGGUGAAUCUUGUGACCAGGCCUGGCAGAGAACUCCUAUUUACUGUUGUCUCACAGGACGAAAAAUACAAAGCCAAGUCACAAGCUUCCAAAUUCUUUUUUACAUAGAAAAUCAAAUGCAUUUGGUUUUUUUAUAAAAUAAGUUCAUCUACGAAACUGUGUCACUUGGUGCUUGCUGCUGUUGGUGUCUUAGUUUCCUCUAUACGAGAAAGUGCAUGUGUUCAACUUUAAGUUCCUCUAUACCCAACUAUUUGAAACGCUGUUUCACUAAUUACAUGAUACUGCAGGUUUGCAUUGAUGUAUUUGUUCAAAGACUUGGAGAUAUGCUUCAGCAGGAAUGUACAAGCUAGCUUUCAGCACUACUAGUACUGUUAAUGGGAGAGCGUCAAUUGUGUCUCACUACUACAAAAAAGCAAAAAGACGACGGUAAAUCACCGUCGUGUAUUUGGUUUUUCAAUGGUCGUGGAAUCCACCGUCAUCUUUUCCCUCAUAAACCACGACGCUAAAUAACCGUCGUUGUUAAACAAUACAACGUCAUCAAAAAAUACAAAACGACGUCUUUGUACUGCAAAAAGAUCUAAAAAAAGCAAUCGAGGAUGAUAAUAGACGACCAAUUCUCUAAAAACACCGUCGUUAAAAAGGGAAAAUAUGACACAUAUUAAGAGAACAAAGCCGCAAGAUAGACAUACAACGACGACAAUAAAAAUACGCCGACGUUAAAUAUAAUUUUCACGACAAUAAAAAAUAUGACGUCUUUAAAUACAUUAGAAGACGACGUUAUUGAUACCUACUACGUCGCACAUAUAAACACAACCGUCGUACAAUUAAUUUUCCACUUCGAUUUUUCGAUAAAAGAUGACGUGGAAAUAGUUGUCAGUGUCAUUAUUUACGACGUAUGUGUUUCUAUAGUAGACGUUGAAAAACUAAACAACGUCAGUUACAAAUAUAUGAGAGUCGUAUUAAAAAAUUUAUACGUCCUAUUUUCAGAAACAAACAACGACCAUAAAUAUUAGACGUUGUUAAAUACAACAACGUCGGAAAACAAUAAAAACAGACGUGUUUAGUCUGCUAAAGUUCUACAACGUCUCUUAUUUACAAAAAACCGUCGUGAAAUAAAUUUUCCACUUCGAUUUUUCUAAAAAAGAUGACGUGGAAAUAGUUGUCAGUGUCAUUAUUUACGACGUAUACAUUUAUAUAGUCGACGUUGUAUUUAUAUGUAUUCAUUACUCACGACGCACUUAAUAAUAUAGACGACGUUGAACGUCUAAACAACGUCGGUUCCAAAUAAAUGAGAGCCGUAUUACAGAACAUAUAGACGGCGUAGAUUAUGAUGGGAGCCGUAUUACAAAUAACGUCGUUUAAUUGUUAUUAGACGGCGGUUAUAAUGAAUUUCCGUCGGAAUUAAUUUCGUUCCUCUUCGUUUAUAAAAGACACUUGCGACGUGGAACAACUGUAUGAUGACGUCGUAUUUUUUAACGUUCANNNNNNNNNNNNNNNNNNNNNNNNNNNNNNNNNNNNNNNNNNNNNNNNNNNNNNNNNNNNNNNNNNNNNNNNNNNNNNNNNNNNNNNNNNNNNNNNNNNNNNNNNNNNNNNNNNNNNNNNNNNNNNNNNNNNNNNNNNNNNNNNNNNNNNNNNNNNNNNNNNNNNNNNNNNNNNNNNNNNNNNNNNNNNNNNNNNNNNNNNNNNNNNNNNNNNNNNNNNNNNNNNNNNNNNNNNNNNNNNNNNNNNNNNNNNNNNNNNNNNNNNNNNNNNNNNNNNNNNNNNNNNNNNNNNNNNNNNNNNNNNNNNNNNNNNNNNNNNNNNNNNNNNNNNNNNNNNNNNNNNNNNNNNNNNNNNNNNNNNNNNNNNNNNNNNNNNNNNNNNNNNNNNNNNNNNNNNNNNNNNNNNNNNNNNNNNNNNNNNNNNNNNNNNNNNNNNNNNNNNNNNNNNNNNNNNNNNNNNNNNNNNNNNNNNNNNNNNNNNNNNNNNNNNNNNNNNNNNNNNNNNNNNNNNNNNNNNNNNNNNNNNNNNNNNNNNNNNNNNNNNNNNNNNNNNNNNNNNNNNNNNNNNNNNNNNNNNNNNNNNNNNNNNNNNNNNNNNNNNNNNNNNNNNNNNNNNNNNNNNNNNNNNNNNNNNNNNNNNNNNNNNNNNNNNNNNNNNNNNNNNNNNNNNNNNNNNNNNNNNNNNNNNNNNNNNNNNNNNNNNNNNNNNNNNNNNNNNNNNNNNNNNNNNNNNNNNNNNNNNNNNNNNNNNNNNNNNNNNNNNNNNNNNNNNNNNNNNNNNNNNNNNNNNNNNNNNNNNNNNNNNNNNNNNNNNNNNNNNNNNNNNNNNNNNNNNNNNNNNNNNNNNNNNNNNNNNNNNNNNNNNNNNNNNNNNNNNNNNNNNNNNNNNNNNNNNNNNNNNNNNNNNNNNNNNNNNNNNNNNNNNNNNNNNNNNNNNNNNNNNNNNNNNNNNNNNNNNNNNNNNNNNNNNNNNNNNNNNNNNNNNNNNNNNNNNNNNNNNNNNNNNNNNNNNNNNNNNNNNNNNNNNNNNNNNNNNNNNNNNNNNNNNNNNNNNNNNNNNNNNNNNNNNNNNNNNNNNNNNNNNNNNNNNNNNNNNNNNNNNNNNNNNNNNNNNNNNNNNNNNNNNNNNNNNNNNNNNNNNNNNNNNNNNNNNNNNNNNNNNNNNNNNNNNNNNNNNNNNNNNNNNNNNNNNNNNNNNNNNNNNNNNNNNNNNNNNNNNNNNNNNNNNNNNNNNNNNNNNNNNNNNNNNNNNNNNNNNNNNNNNNNNNNNNNNNNNNNNNNNNNNNNNNNNNNNNNNNNNNNNNNNNNNNNNNNNNNNNNNNNNNNNNNNNNNNNNNNNNNNNNNNNNNNNNNNNNNNNNNNNNNNNNNNNNNNNNNNNNNNNNNNNNNNNNNNNNNNNNNNNNNNNNNNNNNNNNNNNNNNNNNNNNNNNNNNNNNNNNNNNNNNNNNNNNNNNNNNNNNNNNNNNNNNNNNNNNNNNNNNNNNNNNNNNNNNNNNNNNNNNNNNNNNNNNNNNNNNNNNNNNNNNNNNNNNNNNNNNNNNNNNNNNNNNNNNNNNNNNNNNNNNNNNNNNNNNNNNNNNNNNNNNNNNNNNNNNNNNNNNNNNNNNNNNNNNNNNNNNNNNNNNNNNNNNNNNNNNNNNNNNNNNNNNNNNNNNNNNNNNNNNNNNNNNNNNNNNNNNNNNNNNNNNNNNNNNNNNNNNNNNNNNNNNNNNNNNNNNNNNNNNNNNNNNNNNNNNNNNNNNNNNNNNNNNNNNNNNNNNNNNNNNNNNNNNNNNNNNNNNNNNNNNNNNNNNNNNNNNNNNNNNNNNNNNNNNNNNNNNNNNNNNNNNNNNNNNNNNNNNNNNNNNNNNNNNNNNNNNNNNNNNNNNNNNNNNNNNNNNNNNNNNNNNNNNNNNNNNNNNNNNNNNNNNNNNNNNNNNNNNNNNNNNNNNNNNNNNNNNNNNNNNNNNNNNNNNNNNNNNNNNNNNNNNNNNNNNNNNNNNNNNNNNNNNNNNNNNNNNNNNNNNNNNNNNNNNNNNNNNNNNNNNNNNNNNNNNNNNNNNNNNNNNNNNNNNNNNNNNNNNNNNNNNNNNNNNNNNNNNNNNNNNNNNNNNNNNNNNNNNNNNNNNNNNNNNNNNNNNNNNNNNNNNNNNNNNNNNNNNNNNNNNNNNNNNNNNNNNNNNNNNNNNNNNNNNNNNNNNNNNNNNNNNNNNNNNNNNNNNNNNNNNNNNNNNNNNNNNNNNNNNNNNNNNNNNNNNNNNNNNNNNNNNNNNNNNNNNNNNNNNNNNNNNNNNNNNNNNNNNNNNNNNNNNNNNNNNNNNNNNNNNNNNNNNNNNNNNNNNNNNNNNNNNNNNNNNNNNNNNNNNNNNNNNNNNNNNNNNNNNNNNNNNNNNNNNNNNNNNNNNNNNNNNNNNNNNNNNNNNNNNNNNNNNNNNNNNNNNNNNNNNNNNNNNNNNNNNNNNNNNNNNNNNNNNNNNNNNNNNNNNNNNNNNNNNNNNNNNNNNNNNNNNNNNNNNNNNNNNNNNNNNNNNNNNNNNNNNNNNNNNNNNNNNNNNNNNNNNNNNNNNNNNNNNNNNNNNNNNNNNNNNNNNNNNNNNNNNNAGAUGCAUCUUUGCCUUCCUUCCACUUGAGAUACCACAGUAGGACAAUUAGUUGAAUCCUCAUACUCUUCCUAUACAAGAUGCAAUCAUUGGGGCAUGCGUGCAUUUUCUCAUAACUCAGCCCCAAUGCACACAAAGUCUUUUUAGCCUCAUACAUGGAGGUUGGUAUUGUAUUUCCUUCUGGAAGCAAAUCGCCUUGAAGUAUCAAUAAUUCUGUAAAACAGACAUCACUCAUCCCAUGUUUUGCCUUCAAAUUAUACAACUUCACUAAUGCCGAUAACUUCGUGUACUUUCUACAACCAGGGUACACUGGUUGAUCUCCAUCCCCAAUCACAUUGGCAAACUCAUACGGAUCCGAACCAAAAUCACCAAAAUCAUUAUCAUCCAUAUCAAUUUCUUCAGACACAAAACUGUACCUACUAUGGCCAUCAUCUUCUUCAACAUUUCUGCUAGCAUUAGUAGUUGCUUCCCAAGGUUCUCCGUGAAAUGUCCAAUUCUUAUAGCUUUGGUCAAUUCCAUUAAAGUAUAAGUGAUCCCUUAUAAUUCCAACCCCAAACAACUUCAAAUUAACACAUUUAACACAUGGACAACGGAUAUGUGUUGUAGUUAGAAGAUUUUCUACAGCAAAGUUCAAAAAUGCUUCCACCCCAAACUCAUAUGCCUUCGAUCUUCUAUCCGAGUGCAUCCAUGACUUAUCCAUCUCCGACACUAUAACCUAUUAUCUAUAAUAAAGUGAAAAUACAAGCAAUGACCAUCACUAUAGCAGAUUAUACAAUGAUCUAAUCGCAAGUAAUAAACAACAGAGACGACGGGUUUUAAUCAAAAACAGACGUAUUUGGCAUAUAUAGACGACGGAUUUUCAACAGACGUCGUCUAUUAUACGUAAUACAAACGACGGUUUAUGAAAAAACCGUCGUGUAUAAGUAAUACAACGACGGUAGUUUAAAAACACCGUCGUGUAAUCGUCGUCGUACGCCUUAAAAUUCGUCGUGUCUCAGUUUAUUUUCAAGAACACAAAACCCAUUAAGAACACAACAUAUAUAUGAAACCAAGCAAGAAACCAACAUAUACAUGAAACCAAGCAUGAAAACAAUAAAUCCAUUCCCAAUUCAACAUAACAUAGGGUGAUUAAAAGAUACGACAAAAUUAAAUCCAUUCCCAAUUCAACAUAACAGAUAAUGUAAUCCAUGAACCCAUUAAACAGAAAAUCCAUGAACCCAUACCUAUAAGCAUUGGUGCACUUUGCACCUUCUCCAGAGCGGAAAAUGACAAGAUCAAAUAAAGGUGUCCUUUUGCUGGAAAUCAUUUGGAAGUUGGUGAUGUGUCUUUUUGUGUUGAUUUCCAGCAAAAGUACACCUUUAUUUGAUCUUGUCAUGAACCCAUUAAACAGAAAAUCCAUGAACCCAUACCUAUUUCCAGCAAAAGUACACCUUUAUUUGAUCUUGUCAUGAACCCCUUUAACAAAACAACCUAAUAUCAUUCAAUGAAUUUACAAGGGGAAGAUAGGGUUUGUACUUACAGGUUGGACGAGCUCACAGAUUCGACGAGCCUGGAGAGUGCAACUUUUAAUUAGAGCAGAAGUGAGAGAGCGAAAUGUUAUGUCGCGUGAAAUCUGAAAUUUUAGGUUUCAGGGAUCAAAGUAUAAGAAUAAGAGCCAAAUCUAAAAAAAUUUAGGUCGCGCGAAAAUUUUUAGAGCGCGCGCGUUAUAAAACGUCGAAAGAAAAACCAAGGCGAAAGUUCUACAAGUACCGACGUAAAUUUAAUAUUCCACGACGGAAACUUCAUUUUUCGGAUUAAGAACGUAAGGCCGUUCAUUUUUCGGAUUAAUUUUAAAUUUAUUUUGAAUUUUUUAUAUAACGACGACUGAAAAACCACGUCGGUGUUAAGAAAUUAAAGACGUUGUAAAUUAUAUAAACCGACUUACAUAUUAAAAUAACGUCGUUUAAAGCGUAAACCAUGUCGUAUGUUUUACUGUACGACGUAAAAUAUGUAUUCCACGACCCAACCACCGUCGUUAAAAAUUAAUACACUAAACCCAUAAAAUUAAAUUAUACAAUUUAAAAAAUUAAGUUUAUAAAAGGUUUUAUGGUUUUAAAGCCUAACAUAUACCCUAGACUACCCAAAAAUUAUACUUUAAAAAUAAACCCCAAUAAAUAACAACCCUAAUCUCUAAACCCUAGACUCUAAACCCUAAACCAUAAAACUAGAAGUGAUUUUAUGACUCAUCAAAACAAUUUUGUUUUGGAUGGUCAUUUUAAAUUUUUGUUAUUCAAAAUGAAUUUUUUCAAGGUUUAUGUGGAAGAAAAUAUAUCAAUGACUUCAUAGGAGUUGACUUUUCAAUUUUCUGAUUUAUUUUAUAUUUAUUUUGAAUAUUUUGAUAUAAAAAUAAUAAAAUAUUCUUACCAUACAACAAACCACGUCGGUGUUAAAUAAAUUGUAGACGUUGUAAAUUGUAAUAGACUACUAAGUCGUUAAAAUGACGUCGUUAAAAUGAGAAACCAUGGCGGCUAUUUAACUAUACGACGUAAAAUAUAUAUUUUACGACUUAACCGCAGUCGUUACAUAAACGUCGUCGAUUAUACCCUGAACCCUUAAGAAAUUGAAGAUAUUGUAAACCAUUAACGACUCAAUUGUUCAAAGAACGUCGUCUAACUAUUUUUUUACGUCGUAUUUGUUUAAAACACGCAACAACAAAAUACGACGGUUAUUGACUUUAUUAGGUCGUUGGAAAAGUAUUACACGUCGGUUAAGCAAUUUGUAUGUUUGUUUUUUUUUUAAUUUAAGAAAACCUCAACAAAUUUUUACAUUACAUAUUAUAGAGAAAAUUGGUACAUUAUACAUAAAUAUCAAGUGUUCAAUAAUUGCCCUGUUUAAUAAUUUGGAAAACAAACUCUGCCCAUUCAUUCCGGACUUCAUCAAUGGCUUCUUGGGGGUAUGAAGCUUCCUGGUUUCCCUUGGCAUACUGCAUAAACAAUGACUAUUAGGGUUUAUAAAUAAAAAGAAAUUCAAUCACAGACGACGAUAUUUUUCAUAACCGACGUAGUAUAUCCAUUCAACGACGUUAAUUUUACACGACCGUCGUUGAUAAUACAAAAAACGACGUGAAAUGUAUGAAGGUAAUUUCUUCUUACCUUAUUCUCAAACCCCAAGGAAGGAUCCAUGAUGAUGUCCCUCAUGAAGCGCAUUACAUAAUACCCGCAUUCGACAUUGCUGGGUUGCUUUGGUGUGCCUGAGAGAGUUUUCCAAAUUACAUUUUUACGUCCUGCUCGGGCUAUGUGGGUAUUAUAUAUUUUUAAAGCACUGUUCACGAUGUUUUUGGCCUCUUCAUCGACCACACGAUUUCCUGGCAGAGGAUCCAGAAAAUAGACGGUUUCUCUCUUUGCUCUUACAAUCAGCAAAAUCCAAUGACGGCUGCACAAAAUUAAUAUAAAAACGACGGUUAUUUACAAAAACGACGUAUUAUAGUAUUUCACACGACGAAGUAAAGUAGCUAACGACGACAUUAUAUAUUUAUCACGACGAUAAAUAAAUACCGACGUGGUUAGUAGUUUCAAACGACUAAAUAAAAUAAAACACCGACGUGGUUAGUUUAUAAGCUGUCAUUUAUUGAAAAUCAUAAAAACAAAAUCCUAAGGAGACUAACCCUGGAUUGUAAGGCAUCAUGAAAAUCUGUUCACCGUCUGUCUUCUGAAGUCGAGCUGCUACGAGUCGUGAUCUUUCAGUUAUUGUGCCAGAGUUGGCACUAACUGUAGCAGGGUCGAUAAAGCCAACCAUACUGCACAUAUUGGCUUUUUUCAAAACAUCGUGUAAGUACCUAAACAAAUAAAAUAAUAUAAACAAGUCAGCACACAAAACACGACGGUUAUGUAUAAAAAAACGACGUAUUAUAAUAUUUCACACGACGUACUGAAAUAGAUGAGGACGUUAUAAUAUAUUUAUCACGACGGUUGUUAGUUAAGACGACGUGGUUAGUUAGUUAAGACGACGCAAUAUAUAAACCAACGAGUUAUUAUUUUAGAAGUACAAACCUCAUAUAUACAGCCAAUACAGUAGCUCCAAUUUCUUCCAUGCCUGCAAAUUGUGUAAUAUCUUCAGGCAGGAGGAAGGUAUCGCGCUCACCACCAAACACCUCCUUAUCAAUUGUAAAUUGGACUGUCUUAUCCUCAAGCAGGAGUGUCGUUUCCACAAAACGACAAAGGGUUUUUAAAGAAGAUGGCGCCUCCAUUUUUGAAUAAGCACCAACUUCAAUAACCUGUUUAAAGAAAUAAAAAAAAUGACGUGGUAAUUCAAUAAAGACGACGGUUUAAGUAAUAAAACGUCGUCUUAAAAGUAUUUAAACGACGGUGAAAAAACUGUCGUGGUAAUUCAAUAAAGACGACGGUUUUAUGAAUAAAGCGUCGUCUGAAACCAUUUAAACGACGGUGCAAAAACCGUCGUUUAAAUAUUUUAUUACGUCUUAAAAAAAUUCCGCCGUCUAAGUUUUAAACAAACGACGGAUUAAAUAAAAAUAUCGACGUCUGAAAUUUUGAAAAACAAAUAAAAAAGGCAAAGUUAUGUGAACAUACCUUGUCGUCAUGCUUUUCUUCAUCUUCUUUCUCCUUUUCUUCUUCCUUCUCUUCAUCUCUUUUUUCUUCUUCCUUCUCUUCAUCUGGCUGAUGUUUCCCCAUUUUGGCAGUAUCAUCCUCCAAAUGUAGGGAUCUCACAUCACCUCCAGAGCAGCUAGCUUUGUCAGACAUUGGAUUUUUGGGGCUUUGGCUAAUUCUUGGUUUAAGCAUGCUUGGAUCAAAAUUGGGAAUUAAUUGGGAAAGCUGACUCAGGAAAUGCUCCCUCUCAGCCUCUACCAAUUGUUUUGUCCUAGCCUCCAUCCUUAAGGCCUCUUCCCUUGCCUUAGCCUCCAUCUUUUUAGUCUCUUCUUGAAGGAGAACUCUUAAACUGUCCUUCAAACGGUCGUCAAAGCUCACCCUCUGUGGUUUGGGCAAAUUGAAAUAUUGCCUUGGGGAAACACCAGCACCAACUCCCCUCAGUCUGCCUGGAUGCUCGGGGCCCAAAGCCAUGGUCAGCACAUCAUUGCUGCCAUCUACUCUGACUUUGCCUUCCGAGACUUGUUUCUGCAAUUCAUCCUAAAAAAAGAUAAACAAAAAAACACACGACGGUUAUUUAUGUACAAACGACGUAUUAUAUAAUUUCACACGACGCAAUAACGUAUAAACCGACGUUAUUAUAACUUAUCACGACGGUAGUUAUACCGACGUGGUUAUUUAUUUAAAACGACGAAAUGAAUAAACAACCGACGUCUUAUGCUAUAAUUAAAGAUAACAGAGUAGUGAUUCCUAUUUAGACCGUUAACGACGUUUUUAAAAAAUUUUCGACGUGGUAAUAUCAUUCACACGACGCGAAAAUGAACCACCGACGUCUUAUGCUGUAAUUACAGAAAACAUAGUAGUGAUUCCUAUUUAGACCUUUAACGACGUUUUUAAAAACUUUUCGACGUGGUAAUAUCAUUCACACGACGAAAAAUAUAACAUACGACGUAAUAAGAAUAAUUCACAGUUUAAUAAAAAUUUAAAACAGAGUGAUAGUAGGCUUACAAUUAAUUUUGCUUUCUCUGCCACCUUUGGAUCAGGGAUGUUACCAUGUUUGUCCUGUCUAGCUCUCUUCCAUAAGGUAGAUCGAUCAAUUUCUACCCCAGGCAUGGUUUCCUCCAAUUGAUCCUCCAAUCCAGCAUAUCCUUUUCGAGACAAUCGAUGAUUGUACUCGAGUUUCUCCCUAAUCUGUGCAUGUUGAGAAUGCACAGACUCAAAAUCUUUGGAUAGCCUUGAAGCUACAAAGGCAUCCCAUUGUGCUUUCUCUAUGAAUUUAUAUGUUUCAGGGGGUUGGCUUAAUUUCUCCCUGUCAUUGGUGUAUGGAAGGAUAUAAUGCCUCGUUAGUGUAGACUUGAAAUCCUUCCAUUUCUUGGAAGCAGAAGCUAAAACAGAGGUCUUGCCCCCUUGGCCUACGACAAAAGCCAUGUCAACUGCUUCCCAAAUCUGCUCCUUUAUAUCCUUGGGGAUUUGGGACCAUUUCUUGUCCACAAGUGGGAUCCUGGAGCGUGCCAACACACCAAUAUACGACUGCAUCUCAAUAUGUGCUUGGCCAACACCUUUCCCCCUUUUAUUGUACUCAACAAUUGGCCUCAGUUUCUGAAGCUUUCUCUUCACAACACGAGGCAUUGUGCUCAUACCUCGACCAGUCUUUGAAUCAUCUGAGAUUGUUGUCUGGCUGGUUUGUUCUGUCUCAGCAGAUGAUGAAGCAAACUUCAUCUUCUUCGAAGACUUCAUCUCCUUCGAAGACUUAUCUUGAGGAGCUACCAUUCCAAGCUUCUUGGAGCCAGAAUCCUUAGUUUGUUGUUGAGAAACCAUUUUAACAGACAAAACUGCAAGUGAAAAUAUUUCAGGAAAACAUUAAGAACACAAACGACGGUAUUAAAAAAAUACGACGUAUGAUAUGAUUUUAGACGACGCAAUGAAAUAAUCUCAGACGUAAUAAAUGUUUAAAACCAUUAUUUAUAUAACGUCGUGGUAUAUAUGUUCACACGACGUCAAUAGUAAUACACCGUCGUGGUAAACUAUUAUUUAUAUAACGUCGUGGUAUUUAUGUUCAUACGACGUCAAUAGUAAUACACCGUCGUGGUAUUAACAUUCACACGACGUAAAACAAUAAGAUAUUUUGUCGUCUAUAUUAGAUACCAACCCUAGUUUCUUUUUCUUUAUAUUUUAUCAAAUAAGGGAAAAACAAAAACCAUUGUUCAGCGAAAUCAAACCUGCAAUUAAACAAGCAUAUAAAAAAAGACUAUUAUUUUAAAAACAACUUUGUCAAUUUUCAGACGACGCUAGAACAACUGACGAACCGUCGUGGUCUACCGUCGUCUUAUUUAGUUGAUGUAGUUGUCUUCAAAGUUGGAAACUUUCUCUCUUUGUCUGUAUAUUUUAUCAAACUUGGAAAGAAGUAAAAUGAUUUUGGCCAGAAAAAAGGUAAAAAGAUUUUUCAAACAAAAAACGUAUGAGCAUGCAAAACAGUAACCAAAAUAGUGAAAAUGAAAGCUUACCUUUUGCGUGCAAUGAAAGCAAGAGGAAGAUGAUCGAUGUUUAAGUUCAGAGACGACGAAGAAGACGAGAGGAAGACGAUGAGAAACUCUGACAAUGCUCUGACAAGGAAAAAAGACGAAAAGGUUUCUCUGGGAGAUUGAAAUUUUUAAUCGGGUUUGGAAACAGUGCAUGUGUAAGUCGAAAAGUUGCUUACAUAUAAAACCAUUUCAAAAAAAUAAUACGGCGGUUACAUUUAACUACGUCGUUUUUAACUAAAACGACGCAAUAUUUUUCAUUCGACGUGGAAUCAUUUCAUUUAACGUCGUUAGGUUUAAUAUAACUGACGUGGAUUUUAAUUUUUAAAUUAUGAAUAGAAUUUUUUUUCCCGUGACCUUUCAGUUUAUUUUUCAAUUACAGUGCGUUAUAAAUAGAGUUUUUUUUCCGGAGGAAAUUUAAAACGAAGGAAAUUAAUAUUCUGCAAUAUGUAAAGUUUCUUUUUUGGAUGACAGAUUUAAAUAAAAUAAGAAUAUAAAAACAACAAAUGUGUAAGUCAAGUAGACGAAAAGUUGCUUACAUAUAAAACCAUUUCAAAAAAAUAAUAUGGCGGUUACAUAUAACUACGACGUAUAAAUUACAAAAUACGACGGUACAUUUAACUUCGGACGUGGUAAAUAAAUACGACAGUAGUUUGUAGGUACCGUCGUAGUAAACUCAAAAAUUAAAGUACAUAAGUAAUAACUCGCGUCAUGGUAUAUUAUUUAACACGUCGUUUUUAUUAAUUUACCGACGUGGAUUUCUGUAAUAUACGUCGAUCAUACCGACGUUGAUUUUACAAUUUAAACGGCGGUUUUUUUGUAAGGACCGCCGUUGGUUUUAAAAAUUUAUUCUAUAAAUUUGUCGCUUUCAUUCAUUUUCGGUUUACAUUUAAGGUUCCAAGUUCUUCCUCUCUCAGUCUCUCAUGUCUCAAAGAUAAUAAUUUGGAUGUUUUCUCAAAGAGAAAUUGAGCUUACUCGCAUCAAAUAUAUGUCCACAAGAAGAAGCUUGUCAACUAGCCUUCUCACUUCCUUGAUCAAGCCUGAUAGGACACUUAGUGCUUCUGAAUACUCCUUGCUUUCCAUCAAAAGAGAUGCAAGCCUGGCCUCCACUCGCUGUCGAAGGAAAGUUCGCUUCUCAGGGAAAUCUGAAGAUCAGAUGUGCCUGAUCCUCUGCUUGAUUUUCUUGCCUAAGAAGAUCCGUCGGAUUUAUUGUGAUAGCCUCUUCCUUUAUCCGUAGAGCUUCAGAAGAAGAAGAUGGGUUUCAAGAAUGCGAUAAAGAAUAGAAAUGGCUUCAGAUGGCCUCUAAAGCAUGAGCAAUUGAAUCAGUAGUUUCUGGGAGAUAUGAUGAAGACAUUGUCAAUGCUUUGAACUACACAAGUCCUGCAGAAAGAUAUGCUAAAGAAACUGAAACAACGGCGGUUUUCUGUUCUACCGUCGUCUUUUCUCGUCGUCUAUAUUAAGUUACGAUGGCGGUAGAUUUAUAAUUACCGACGUAGAUUAUUUUGUUAAACGUCGUUAAGUGUACUACAACCGACGUGGAUUUUAAUUUUAAAUUAUAAAUGGAGUUUUUUUUCCCGUAUUCUUUCAGUUUUAGUUUUCAAUUCCAAAGCGUGAUAAAUAGAUUUUUCUUUCCCGAGGAAAUUUAAAAUGAGGGAAAUUAAUGUUCUAGAAUUUGUAAACUAACACGACGCAAUAUUUGCAAAUCUGUGUCAUCUGUUAAGAUUAUGAUGUGGAACAGAGUUCCAUCUGGUAAGAUUUCGUAACCCUUGGGAUCUCAGACAAAACUGAUUAUGUCGGCGGUGUUCUAUAUAAACCGUCGUGGUUAUUUCAAUUCUUGUCAUUAAGUAGAUCUACCGACGUAGGAUAAGAAAAUCAAAGAAAAAAAUUGUUAACAAAAAUUCUUAUUAAGACGACCGUUAAAAUUAAAGGUACGACGUAUAAAAUGAAUAAAUACGACGAUAAAUUUUAUUGUACGAUUUAAAGAUAACGUAGUAGAACUAUACGAGAAUGACGUCGAUAUAUUUAUAUUUUCCGUCGUUGUAAAUUAAUUUAAUACGGCGAUAUUUUGUAUUUUAAAGCCGUGGAUUUGUUUGUAAUUAUACGGCGUCUUAUACGAAAACCUCGUCGUCUUAUUUUAUGAGUAAAAACGGCAGUUUUUAUUGAAAUCGUCGUCUUUACUUUCUACGUCGGUCGAUUCAUAACUUCUGCCGUUCUUUGUUGGCAUUGAUUUUACACUGCGGAAAUCUGUUUCAAAUAGACGUCGGUUGUUUAAUUAUGUACGUCGUUGUUUUUGAACAGCCAUUUGAAACUCCAUUUUUUAGUUGUCUAAGGUUGUAUUACACGACGGUGUUUUUAGAACCGUCGUCUUUUUAUAAACCACGACGGUUUUCACUUAGACCGUCGUUGUUUUCUGGUCGUCUUUUUCACUUUUUGUAGUAGUGUCUCUUUACUGCCUGUACCUUUAUGGGAGAGCAUCACAUGUUUAGCUGUUUGUAUACUGUAAAGAUGAAUCAUUCAUGAGCUUUUGAACAAGUACCAUUACAAGAAGUUGUGUUAGCUCUUUUGUUAGACAUUACAGCAAGGGCAGCUUGCCAGUCAGUCUUUCGUACACGAUGUCAUACGAAACGCAAGUGCUUUUUAGCAAACGCAUGAGUAAAUUAACUAAAUAUUAAUGUUUGUAUCUACUGCGUUUAUCCAUGUAAGCAUUGAUGAUUAAUUGGAAAGGAAUUGCACUUUACAGAUUCAUUAGUAAUAUCAGAUUUGCCAUCUCAAUGCCACAGUCAGGUUUGAGCAUUUAAAGAGUAUAGCCAUGCGGCUAUAUACUUUCUAAAUACAUUGGAAUUUUUUAAAUGUAUAGCUGGGUGGUUAUACUCUUUAAGUAUUAUACCCAUAAUAGGUGAAUUACAAGUUAUAUUAUUGCAUAAUAGGAACUUAUAUAAAAAUGCAUUUAUAAAAGUUGGGUAUAUUAUUUGAACAAUAAGUAAAUUGAUACUAGGUACAUUAUUUUUAGUAAAAGAAGUAAUAGGUACGUUAUUUUUUAAACUUAUAUUUAUAAAAUAAUAAAAUAAUAGAUAAUUAAUCACAUAUACUUCAUAAAUUAAUAAAUUAAAACUUUUUUUUAUUAAAUUAACUGAUUAGGUAUGUUAAAUAUGAAUUUAUUGUUAAAUUUUAAAAGGAUUCCAAAUUAAUUCCUAUAUCCAUUUGGAGAUCUUUCCAAAUUCAACAUGUGUCAUUAGUUACAAUCUAUUAAAAUUUGUUUCUAUAUUGGUUCCUACAUUAAUUAAAAAUAUAUAUAUAAUAAUAGCUUAGUUGGGGGUAUUUUAGGAAUUGAAAAAGUACAAUAAAUUCGAUUCUGCACUUGAUUAGGUAACUUUUCGAGUUGGAUCCUAGUCAUCGGGUUUUAUUUAUAAAAAAUAGGAUUUCAUUCAAACAAAAAUAAAGAGAAGAGUUGUAGUUGAGGAAAAAUGACUUUGAAGGGGUUAAGCUAAAUUUACAAUUUUUUUUUUCUUUUCCAUUUAUAUUUAUUUAAACAAAAAAUGCUAAAACUUCUUCUGGGUACUUGGAGAAGAAACUUAUGAUGAAAAGCCAAUUAUUAAAAUAAAGCAUGCUUUUGGAUGCCAAUUAUCAUUGAAACCAUAACUUAGCCUGCAAGAAUAGUAUAGUCCCAUGUCGGCAGACGGUUUCCAAGCCAAAGUUGUCAAAUGAUGAGAUGAUGAAGGAGCAUCAGAUUCAGAUGGGAGAUUAGCCAUUAUGAUUAAGCAGCAUUUAUAAGAAAAUUGAUCACUUAAUCACAACAUUCUCCCUCAUAAUUUCAUCACUUUUGAAUUCUCAAUCUCGAGGAGGAGUAGUAACAAAAACUUAUAAAUAUCUCUUACACAUAGGUAUCUUCCAACUGCACGGAGGUGGGUAAGUGUCACGAGCGUUAACUUACUUGAAAUCUUAUCUUAUCCAUGGACCAUGGACCAUGCACCAUGCACCAACAUACACUUGUCGUGUCACAACAUUGCCACGUGUUUCAGUAGUUAACGUGGCACUAUGAUAUGAAAUCAGUAUCCAGGUAUGGGUAAGAAUUUAGCCUACAUGCACAUCAUGCAUGCCUUUACGUAAUUGCCUAUAUAAACCACCCCCAAUUCUCCAUCCAAUCCAAGACAACUUACACUUUCUACUCAAAAAAUCAAUCUACAAUCUCUAUUUGUUUCUUUGUGUUAUUGUGUGAUCUUUGAAAAUGGCGAAUUACCAGAACCAAUAUGGUGCAACGGCCCAAUCUACAAAUGAUUACGGGAACCCACUCACCAACUACACCGGAUCAGAGCCCCAAUCUACAAAUGAGUACGGGGCUACAGAUGAGUAUGGGAACCCAGUCACCACCUACACCAGAUCAGAGCCCCACUAUACAGAUGAGUAUGGGAACCCAGUACGCGAAAGGGGGAUGAUGGACAAGAUCAAGGAGAAGCUCCCAGGUACUCAUGACCCCUACUCAUCUCAUUCUCAGACAACCUACCCCACUGCACGUUACGGUGAAACCGGCUACACUGGAUUGGAGCAGCACCAUGGGAUGAUGAACAAGAUGCCAGGUACUGACCCCUACUCAUCUCAUUCUCAUACAACCGGCACCACUGCACCUUACGAUGGAACCGGCUACACCGGAACAGAGUACCGCCAGCACAAGGGCACGAUGGACAGGAUCAAGGAUAAGCUGACUGGGACUGGUGGACAUAGGGUGGAUGAUCCCUACUCAUCUCAUUCUCAUAAAACCGCCACCACCACACCUUACGGUGGCACCACCACCACAGCUUACGGUGACAGCACCACCACACCUUCACCUUACGGUGGCACCACCACCACACAUUCACCUUACGGUGGCACCACCACCACAGCUUACGGUGACACCACCACCACACCUUCAGCUUACGGUGGCACCACCACCACACCUUCAGCUUACGGUGGCACCGCCACCACCACCUACCCCCGUGAAAAGAAGGGCAUCAUGGACAAGAUCAAAGAGAAACUUCCUGGUGGACAUCAUUAUUAAUAAUAGGGUUAUGUAAGAGAUAGAUACGUUAGGUAUCGUUUUGUGUUCAAUGUUUUAGUAUGACGUGUAUAAUAAGCGGUGCUUGGUGUGGUUGUUAUGUUUGUGAACACCGAGCUCUGCGCCAUGUCCUUUGUAUUUUGUGAUACAUACUUUGUAUGUCCUUUAUAUCUAUCUUAACAAUAGUUCCUGUGUAAGCAAGUUUUAAUUGUUUGGAGAGGGAUUUAUUAAAACCAGCAAUAGUCUAAUUAUUUUAAAUUAUUAUAAUUUACAAGGAAUUCAAACUUGAGGCCAAAAACGUAAGGCUCACCUCUGCUAUUAUUCAUGGUAUUCACGAUUGGGUUGUAGAUAAAGAAUUUUAUGGCUAUACGUUGUGGUAUCUUACGGCACUUCAACAAUAAAGUAUCUAUUCCACACAAACAAAAGACGGUUCAUGUCACGAUUAUUGACUUAACCCACAUAUACUUUGAAAUUAAAUUUUUUUUCAGUAAAAGCAUUUAAAUUUGGAGUCAUUCUAUAAUGAAGGCGGCUCUUAGAUGAGAUAUUAUCUCUUAAUUAUUAAAUUAAAUUAAUUAUUUUGAUCUAACGAUUAACUAAUUUAAUUUAAUAAUUAAAAAAUAGAACAUCAUCUAGAUGAGACCCACACUUUAGAAUUUGGCUACUCAACAGAUUGGUCCGUUUCAUGUCGGCCGUUUGUAGACCAAACUGCUGAAAUUGGGCCGGUUCAAUUCAAUAACCCUGUACAGCUAGAACCAAUGGAUAACACCCACGUGGAACCUCAUACACGGAACGAUGAAAUCCCUCUUAUGAAUCUUAGCCAUCCAAUGAGUCGGUCUGUGUGACAAAGAUCAAGAUGAUGAAUGACUUUUACAAGGGUCAAAAGCUAGUGGAGUGGAACGGGUACAGAUGUUGUUGUUCCUCCUGUCGUCAUCAAUUCCAUACAGACGCGGUGAAAUGAUACCUGCUUUUCAAGACAACGAGAACCACUUAUUUUAUCUUAUCUUAAUCGUAAUCUUUAAUCUUAUGCCCGACGUAAAAAGAAAACAAAACAAAAACAAAAUAUCUUCCGAUGUGCCGACACCGGCACACAGGUGUCCUGUCUCAACAGCGCCACGUGUCUCAUAUGUGAAUAUCAGGUAGGUAUGAAAUUUACUUUGCUAAUUAUGUACGUGGGUACGUGUAAAGAUUAAUGAAAUUAUUAUUCAUGGCAUGGCAUGCGCGUUAUGCAUAAUGCAUGCAUAGCCUUUGGGUGUAGAUUCGUUGCCUAUAUAAACCAACCUCAGUUCUAAUUUCAAAUACAUCACUUCAUCCCAAACCAAAGCCAGUUUCAUUCAUUUGGUUUUUAUCAGGAGUUGUAUUUUCUUGUGUCUUUUUUUGUUCGUACUUUGAAAAAUGGCGCAUUUUGGUUCAACACCCGAGCCUACUAAGACUGAUGAGUAUGGGAACCCGGUUCAUCACACCACCACCGGAACCGGUCGGACAGACGAGUUCGGGAACCCGGUUCAGCACGGCGUGGCGGAUACCGGGUACGGAACUGGUGCAGGGUACGGCACUCAUACAAAACCUGGUGUUGUUGAGCACCACGGCGUCCCUGCUGUGCUUCAUUCCAAGGAUGACCAGUACUCUCGUGAUACCCAGACAACCACUGGAGGUUACGGUGGGGACGGGUACACAGGAGGAGAGCACCAGGAGAAGAAGGGUUUACUAGGCCAACUCCAGGACAAGCUGCCAGGUGGGAACAAGGAUGGCCAGUACUCUCAUGACACCCAGACAACCACUGGAGCUUACGGUGGGGCCGGCUACACAGGAGGAGAGCACCACGAGAAGAAGGGUAUAAUAGGCCAAGUUAAGGACAAGCUGCCAGGUGGGCAAAAGGAUGACCAGUACUGUCGUGACACCCACCCAACCACUGGAGCUUACGGUGGCGCCGGCUACACAGGAGGAGAGGACCACGAGAAGAAGGGUAUAAUAGGCCAAGUCAAAGACAAGCUGCCAGGUGGGCAAAAGGAUGACCAGUACUGUCGUGACACCCACCCAACCACUGGAGCUUACGGUGGGGCCGGCUACACAGGAGGAGAGCACCAGGAGAAGAAGGGUAUAAUAGGCCAAGUUAAGGACAAGCUGCCAGGUGGGCAAAAGGAUGAUCAGUACUCUCAUGACACCCACAAAACUACUGGAGCUUACGGUGGGGCCGGAUACACAGGAGAUGAUACCCGGGAGAAGAAGGGUAUAAUAGGCCAAGUGAAGGACAAGCUGCCAGGUGGGCAAAAGGAUGACCAUUACUCUCAUGACACCCACCCAACAACUGGAGCUUACGGUGGGGCCGGGUACACAGGAGAUGAUACCCGGGAGAAGAAGGGUAUAAUAGACCAAGUAAAGGACAAGCUGCCGGGUGGGCAAAAGGAUGACCAUUACUCUCAUGAGACCCACCCAACCACUGGAGCUUACGGUGGGGCAGGGUACACAGGAGAUGAUACACGGGAGAAGAAGGGUGUAGUGGAGAAAGUGAAGGAGAAGCUGCCAGGUGGGCAAAAUGUGCACCCAACCACUGGACCUUACGGUGGGGGUGGGGCCGCGGGCAUAGGAGAGACCCGGGAGAGGAAGGGUGUAGGGGAGAAAGUGAAGGAGAAGCUGCCAGGUGGACAUAAGGAUGACCAGUACCUUCAUGACACCCACCCAACCAAGCCAACCAGUGCAGCUCACGGUGGGGUCGGGCACACAGGAGGAGAGCCCCAGCUCCAUGAGAAGAAGGGGUUGAUUGAGAAAAUCAAAGACAAGCUUCCUGGUCACAACAACUAGAUGGAAUGGAUCAUCAUUUGGACUUCCUAUCAGAUAAUUAUCUGCUGUGCUGCUGUGUAUAAUAAAUCGGUGCUUGUUGUUGGUCUGUGACCACCGAGCAUUGUACAAUGUCGUAUUUUGUAAUAUUUGGAUGUCGUUUGUGUUAUAGUAUAAAUGUGCUCUUCUGAGUACAGUGUUUUGCUUUUGUAACUAUUUAUUGUCUGCUGCUUUCAAGUAUAAAUCUCAAUAAUGCACAUAUAUUAUUAUUAUUAUUUUGUGAUGAAAUAGGUUUGUCUAAAUGAAAUCUUAACCAAGGGUUGAAAAUCAAAUUUUUUGGAAAAAAGAACCCAAAGGCUCCUACUUUCUGCACCGGCCCCUUGAAAAAGUGAAGAGUUUGAAAUGUCAAGAGAUCUUGUGAACCUUUUGCUUUAAGCUGUUGAGCAGCAGUAUCACAAGCUACAACUUCAUAGCUAUCCUUUAACGUUUGACGGACUGCCUUGCCCUCCUCUAUCUGAGUGAAGAAGUUGGCUUUCUUUGCCUUUUCUUCUUGUUGCCGCUUUUCUCAGAGUUUUGUUUUUUCUUACUGUUUGUUUGGUCUUCUUCUUGUAUUUGCCGUUGACUGGUUGCUCGGUCUCGGUUUGUUCUCCUGACCCUUUGGUAUUUGUUUAUGAAAGUACAACUUUACCCCCCAAAAAAGAAAAGUAAUUCGCUUUUAGCUCGUCUAAAUCCCUGAGCACAUACGAACAAGGCCCCUAAUUUGUAUAAACCUAUAUAUAUAUAUUAUUUAAAAAUAAAAUGCAAUAUAUAUUAAUUUUUAUGUAUUUUAUAAAGUUGUUAAUUCCUUUUUAAAUUACAACAGUUCAUAUAAAUGUUUUUAACUUACCGGGAAAAAAAAAAUUCACAUAAGAAUACAUAAAAAGUGGGCAUAAAUCACUCUCUGAAACAUUAUCCCACUCCUCCGAACGACCUUUACAGCGCCACUUGUCAAAAUGUGACAAUGCAACAAGUUCCAAUAAUUUUCAACUGAUACAGAGGUAGCUAUCGUCAAACAGGCUCUUGUGCAUACGCGGUCAAAGUGUCACGAGCUUUUAACACCAAGACAAAGAAUACUAUUAUUAACACAUGAUAUACACAUCUUAUCUUAUCUAUGAUGCAGAAACAAGAUCCAAUUGUCCUCUCACGGCGCCGGCAGGUGUCCCAGUGGCUAACGUGGCUGCAGUGCAUGGAGUCACUAUUCGCGUACGUGUAAGAAUAUGCAUGCCUUGCCAAUCCAAUUGCCCAUAUAUAACCCCCAAACCCCGUUUCUCAUUUCAAAUACAUCAAAUCCCAAACAGAUCUUAAUUUAAAAUUACUCAAAAGUUCAGCAGCUGUUUGUGUUUGCAGUUUGAAAAUGGCGAGCUAUGAGAAGCAGUACGGGGCAACACCGACCGACGAGUACGGGAACCCGAUCCGCCGCACCGACGAGUACGGGAACCCACUUGGUCAUCACACUACUACGACCGGAACCACCGCGGCCACCACUGGCGCAGGAGGGUACGACCCUCAUGACUUCGCCGCCACCACGGUAGCUGGCCAAGGCCAAGGGGUGCAUGGUCACGACUAUGACAGGAAAGGGCACCACGGCGUCACUGGCGCCGUGCUUCACCGCUCUGGUAGCUCAAGCUCUAGCUCUGUAAGUCCUCUUUUUUUUUCUUUUUCUUUUUUUUUAAAUUUUCCUCUAAUAUAUCAAAUUAUGGGAAUUUAAUUUCAUGAAUAAUAUGCUCGAUUGCGCAAUAUAUUUUGUGCUACAUCUCUAACAGUUGUUAUAGAUGUGGUCACAACUUUUGUGUCACAUCAAUAUUUAACAGUUUUAACAGUUUGUGUCAAGUCUCACGGAUCACACUGUUUUGUAUCACAUCCAUCUUGAACAGAAGUGAGACUCGUCUUGUGUCGCACUAUUUCAUCACAAAAAUAAUUUUAUGGUGAUUUUAUUAUAUAUGAUAUGAUAAAGUUGGUAAUUGAUUGUGAUUUGUAGUCUGAGGAUGACGGGCUAGGAGGGAGGAGGAAGAAGAAGGGGUUGAAGGAGAAGGUAAAGGAGAAGCUGCCAGGUGGAACCAAAACCGAUACAACAUACGGUGGAACUGGGACCACCGGGCAGCACCACCAGGAGAAGGGGACGAUGGACAAGAUCAAGGAGAAGCUGCCUGGGACUGGGGGGCAUAGGGCAGAUGACCCCUACCCAUCUCAGACUCAUACAACUGCCACCACCACACCUUAUGGUGGAACCGCCUACACCGAAGAGCACCAAGAGAAGAAGGGGAUCAUGGACAAGAUCAAGGAGAAACUUCCCGGACAACACUAGAUAUCAUUUAUAAGUGCUCAUAUAAAUAUGUAUACAGAGUGGUUAAUUAGUAAUUUUAUGCCCUGUAUAAUAAGCUGGCGGUGAGCUCAGUUCUUUUAUGCUCAAUACGCAAUGGCGUUUGUGUUUCGUAAUGUACUUUGUAUGUCGUUUGUUUCAAUAAAUAGACUUGCUUUUCUGUGAGCAACAUAAUUGACCCCCAAAAAAAAAAGGUCGAAACAUAUAUUGCAAACUGGAAAACAAAUAAGACUUGUUAGCAACCAAGAAAAUUAAGGUCAAAAGUUAACAAAUAAAAUCUAGUUUCAUUAGCACAAAAAUAGAUAAAAUAAUCAAUCAAGCUAAAUGAAACUCAAUUCUACUUCUACAUCUCUCAAAACUUAUGCUAGCCGUUACAUACAAUUUGUCAACGGCGUUCCGUAAAUGAUAUCAUAGGCUCUAGAAAGACUGCAUAAUGAAACCCAAGGCAAUUAGAUAGAUUUGUGUUUUCGAGCAACAUUACCAAAAGCUACAACUUCAGAGCCAGCCUUCUACAACAACCUUCAUCCUCCUGCAGGUUCAAUCACCAAAAGUUACCGCAAGAGCAUUUCCCAUUACUGAAGUGAUGGAAUCUCAUGUUAUCUCUCACAACAAUCUCCCUCCCGGCGACCUGCGAUGCACCACACAUGAACACAUGACAAUCUUCACAGAUCCUAAUGUUCUUCAUAAUCUUUAUGGUGCUUCCAGAAUCUGUACUGACCAAUGCAUAUGCCAGAGCUAGCUUUUCACUAUGCGACAUUAAUAUGCGCUUCCUCUCUUCAAUCCCCAAAUCGUAAGCCGCAGAAUUCAGGUUUGGCUGGUACCCAUGAGCCUGUAAUCUGUUCAGAAGAUCAUCCAAUGCCUUCUUAAUCUCGGCGUACUCUGGAUGGUUCGUUUCACCUGCACAGAAUUCAUGAAUUACCCCUUUCUUCGUUUCGACCCAGCUAUACGCAGGAUUCUUUUUCAGACCCUUUUCCUUCAUCAUCUUCCUCACUCUUGAAACAUCAGCCCACCUUCCUGCCGAUGCAUAUAUGUUAGAGAGCAUUACAUGGUUUCCGAUACUAUCGGGUUCAAGCUCAAAAAGAUGGUUUGCAGCAAUCUGAGCUAUGUCAGGGUUCCCAUGAAUAUGACAUGCUCCGAGUAGUGCUCCCCACACACCUCCGUGGGCAGCUAUCGGCAUUGUUUCAACAAGCUCAAGAGCUUCUUCCAAGCGCCCAGCUCGACCAAGAAGGUCUACCAUGCAAGUAUAAUGAUCAGCUGAUGGAACAACAUUAUAGUACUUCUCCAUGGUUGCAAAUAACUGCCGACCUUGAUCAACCAUGCCUGCAUGGCUGCACGCCGUUAGCACCCCUAUAAAAGUAACCCGGUUAGGUCUUAUCUCUGUUGUCAACAUCUCAUGAAACAAUUCUAUCGCUGCAUUGGCACGGCCGUGCAUUGCAAACCCCAAAAUCAUUGAGCUGUAAGAAAAUACGUUUCUUUCCUUCAUUCCUUGAAAAACCUUGUAGGCUUCAUCCAAGCUCCCACAUUUUGAGUACAUAUCUAUCAAUGCCGAUCCCACAAGAACAUUUUCAGUAGGCCCAAAACCAGAUUUCUCGGCAAUGUCUCGAACCCAAUUAGCAUACUUAGAUGCACCCAAUUGUGCACAAGCUGAAAUGAGACCAACCAACGUAAUCUCAUCGGUGCCCACACCAGCACCUUGCAUUCUCUCAAAGCAAUCCAACGCAUCUCUUGGCCGGGCAUUCUGGGCAUAACCAGUAACCAUUGCCGUCCACGCCACCAUAUCUUUCACAGGCAACCCCUCAAACAAUUCCCUUGCUGAUCCCAUAUCCCCAAUCUUAGUAUAAGCAACAAUUAACUCGGUCCAAGAAACGACAUCCCUGUCAGGCAUUUCAUCAAACACCUUGCGCCCACAAUCCAAAAAACCACACUUUACAUACAUAUCAAUCAUGGUGUUGCCCACGUACAAAUCCGCCGCAAACCCGCCAACCAAAAUCGUCUGGGCAUGUAUCUGCCUACCCAAGUUCACGUCAAGCACAUCCCCACAAGCCUUAAAGAGCGCAGAGAACGUAAACGACACGGGCCCAGUCCCUGCGCUUCGCAUACAAGUAUAAAAAUUCAGCGCCUCCGAAAUGGGUCCCUGAACUGUGUACCCGCGAAUCAUAGCCGUCCAGAGAAAUGGGUUCGGGUACUUGACCUGUACGAAGACGAGGCGCGGAUACGCGUCCACUGGGACGCCGAGCUUCGUGAGCGUGCGGACGAGCUUGGUGAGGACGUAGCAGCACUGGCUGAGGCCAUGGCGGAGGAGGUGAGCAUGAACCUCCUUGACUUGGCUGAGAUUGUCGCAGCCAUCUAGAUCAGAGAUGAGUUUGUGCUCCAAGAGCUUCCGCUUCUGCUGAAACUCGGAGAAAGGGAUGAAGAAUCUGGUUGGUUGUGGCUGGUGCUGGUGAAGCUGCUGAGGUAAAAGCUUGUGAAUUGGGACUGUGGAGAAUCGGCGAGAGAGAUUUUGCAUUGGACAAUCCAAGUCCCUCCGGCUGCGCGCGGCUCUGAGAAUGCAUUUGAUAAAAGAGGAGGAGAAACUCCCGCUAUACAAAUUAAACGGUGCGUAUCGGAAUAACUCGAGGGAAAAGCAAAACGGUGCGUUUUGUUCCUCUCUAAUUUCUACACUCUGCUCUCUUCGUCGCACAGUGACAAGCAUAACAGAACUCCUGAGCCCAAACUCCAAAUUCCUCUGCCCUCCUCUAGACGACGUCGCAUCAAGUCUCCUCCUUUCUUUUCUUGGAAAACUAGGUAGCUUCUCUGUCCUCUCUGGGUCUUUUCCAAUAUGAUUAUUACUGUUUUGCUGUAUUAUUUUAGAGGUAAAGUAUUGGAGGCAGGAGGUUAAUAUCAAAUUUAUGGGUUUCUCUUGUUUAUGAAAUUUGAUGCUAGUUUCUUAUGGAUGUUGCAUGAUUGCUUCAUAGAAAAUGGCUUCUAAUGGUUUAGAAAAGUUUGGGGCAGAAUCUGAUUAAAUGAUUGUUCUUGAAGACAAUAUUUAUGAUUUAGUUAUCUUACAUUGCUUUUGUGAUUUAAAUUUUUUAAUUUAAAAGCUCUUUUAGGGAGACUUACUAUUUUGAUUUGAUUGAAAACUGGUAUCCAGGAUCAUUGUCGACCUUCUGGUUUUAAUAUUUUUACUUGUAAUCCCUACCAAACAUAUGGCUUACAUUUUACAUUUCGCUAUUCUGUUAUGGACAAGCACUAAAUACUUUGUUCUGUAUGAUUAGGCUGGUUGAUUUAGCAAAUGGAUAGUGAUUUUCAAAGCAAAUCAUUAGAAAAAAGUGACAAGGAAGCAUUAUUUGGAGAAAGUGAUGAACUAAGAGUAGGGAUGGAAGUUAGUGAUGAAUCUGAAGCUUACCAGCUCUGCAACACAUAUGCCUUUAACAAAGGUUUUAGUAUUCGCAAGGGGCAUCUUCGAAGAGAUUCGCAAAAUAAUGUCCGGCAACGAGAAUUUUUGUGCUCAAAGGAAGGAUUUCAAGUAGAUGAAGACUUAUGUGAAGCGAAGAAAGUGAGAAGGUUAGAUACAAGAACAGGUUGCAAGGCUGUAAUUCGAUUCACCGUGGAAAAUGGUAUGUGGAAGCUCUCCUACAUCAAUCCAGUUCAUAAUCACGAGUUUGCUAAGCCUGAAGAGCGACAAUUUCUAAGAUCAGGUCGAAAUAUACCAAGUGUUCGUGCAAAUAUCCUUGGCUCUAAGAGUGAUGGGAGUAUAAGAACAGCAAAAUCACAUUCAUACUUGGGAAAAGAGUUUGGCUGUGAUGAGAAUGAUAGAUCUACUAAUAAAGAUUUACCUAAUUGUUUGCAAAGGAGUAAGGAUGAAAUGAUAGAACAGAAUGGACAAAGCUUGAUAAAUUAUUUUAAGCAUAAACAGAUGGAGGAUCCAAAUUUUUUCUACAGUGUUCAAGUGGACCAAUUUAGUCGAAUCACAAAUUAUUUCUGGAGAGAUGGUAGAUCAAAGUUGGAUUAUGAUUGCUUUGGAGACGUUGUAUGUUUUGAAACUACAUUUCGAACCAACAGCAAUCUAGUUUGUAGUCCAUUUUUGGGAGUCAAUCACCAUUGGAAGAAUAUCUCAUUUGGUUGUGCUUUUUUAUUGGACGAGAGUGCUGAUUCAUUUGUUUGGUUGUUUGAAACAUUUUUGGAGUCGAUGGGAAAUAAACAGCCAAAAACCAUUUUCACGGAUGAGGAUAAAGCAAUGGAAAAGGCAAAGGCAAUUGAGACUGUGUUCCCAGAGACACGGCAUCGGUUAUGCAAUUGGCAGAUCUCCAAGAAUGCUACACAACAUCUUGCUAGUCUUUGUGCUGAUCCUGAAUUCAAGAAGCACUUCAACAAAUGCUUUCUUGAUUGUUUUACUGAAGUAGAAUUUCAAAAUUCCUGGGAUGACAUGAUUAAAAUGUUCAACCUUGAAAGCAAUUCGUGGCUGAAGAUGUUGUAUUCACUUCGAGAGAAAUGGUGUCCUGCAUUUAGCCUAGAUACUUUCUCAGCAAAUAUUGGAUCAAGCCAGAGGGGUGAGAACACAAACACUAUUUUCCAUCAAGUGUCUAGAAAAACAGUGGAUCUCGUUAGUUUUGUACAGCAUUAUGAGCUAAAAACAAAAAAGAUGCGAUUCACAGAGUUGGAAGAGGAUUUUCGUUUUAAAAAUGCUAUGCCUCAUCUUAGAGUAAAUAGUGGUAUCUUUAAGCAUGCAGCUACUGAGUACACUGUCAAAAUGUAUUCGUUCUUUGAAAAUGAGCUUAUGAGUAUUUUUGGGGUGAGGAUGGUAGAAGUUAGUAAUGAUGGCAAUCAAUAUAUUUAUGAAGCAAUUGAAGAAGGUCUUCAAAGAGUCUACAUGAUUCAAUACAACUGUACUACGUCCAUGAUUUCUUGUUCAUGUAAGUUAUUUGAAUCCAUGGGGUUGUUGUGCCGUCAUGCCCUAAAAGUACUGGAUUUUAAAAACUAUACAAGCAUACCGACACAAUACAUAGUGAAGAGAUGGACUAAAGGGGCAAAGAAAGGGAUUGUGGUGAGUAAUGAGUUCUGUAAGUCAUCAUAUAGAAAGGCCAAGUCUGCCCAAUCGCUGCGCCUAAGUGAGUUGAUGCAUGAAGGAAAUAAUGUUUUCAGUAUAGGCUCAUUGUGUGAUUCAGGAACGAGGAUUGUCAGACAAAAGUUAGCGGAGACCAUGAAGUUACUGGAAAGUGACGAGGAAACUACCAACAUGCUGGGAAGUUUGAGCAAAGUAGACGACCAAUCUGUUCGUGAUGUGCUUCUUGAUAAUGGAAGUGUGGAAUCCCCCAGUUGUGAUGGCUAAAGGACAAAUGCUAUAUUGAAAAAUAUAUGUUCAGGGUAUUGCUUACUUUUUGUUCUGAAAAUUGCACUUCAUUGCGUAAGAUGUUCAGAAAUGAAAGGUUAGAGUAUCUUUUUCUUCUUUGGCAGAAGCCAGCAUUGUACAUCCUUUUCUUUUUCAAGUAAAUCAGUGUUGAUAUUUCUGAUAAUAUAGUGGAGGAUAGUUGAUGAAGUAUAUGGAGUUCUGUAUUGAUAUUGAUGUAAGUAUAUUUUUCGUAAUUUCAUCUCUUGAAUAUUCACUAGACAAUAGACUAUACAAAACAGGUGAACUGUCUCAGUAUCAUCUCUGGGGUCAUCUUCAAUAUCAUCGACGAGCAUGAUCCUCCUCUCAGUAUUGCUGAAACCUGGGGUCGCAUUAGGUAAUUGGAUUCCCAUUUAAAAGUGCUGUUUUACUAUUUCAAACUGAAUUCAUUUUUUCGAUCUGUAACUUUGUACAUGUUUGAUGUAAUUACCGUGUAUGGAUUGGCUGAAUAAAUGUCUAGGUCAUUUUCAUGAAGUUGGUUUGAGAGGAUUAAGGAGCAGUAGGCGCAUGAAGAUAGUGUGGAGGUGGAUGAGGAGGCAGAAGCUUAGACUAAUAUUCAACAAGGUAGGGUCUCAGAAGCAGUUUCUGGUUCUGGGUAUGACUUUGGUUUACAGAGCCCAACUUCAAGCAGCAGGCUAAACCAGUAAAUGAUUAUCCACAACACAAGUCCCCUUGAAGUCUAUGAAUUACUAGCUAAGAAGCUUUGCUCUGCCUUAUCAAACUUUGAGUUGUUUUGCUGUAACCCCUAUAAUGUAAAAAACCAGGGCUUAAGUGAUCAGUUCUAAUUCUCUCCCUUUCCAGUUUGUCAAUGAUACUCAUCUAGCUAAUGCUAUGCAAACUGCUAAAAAGUAAACCACACCUGGACUAAAAAGUAAAAUGCUACUUGCUGAUUUUAACUUUUCCAACUUAUAUUGCAAAUUAUAAAAUACACCACAUAAUUAUAUUAAAAGAAGAAUAAUGUGCAAAAUUCAAUGUGAGCAUGCCGUAUAAAUUGUAAAGGAAAUGUUGAAGUUAUAUAGCAUUAUCCUACAAAAGUUUACCUUUUUCCAGUAAGGCUGGGGUAAUUGUAGCAAAAUAAAUUCACGAACACCACCAGCCCCCCAACCAAUAAAAACUGCUUCUUUUUUUUUUUUUUUUAAUUUUUUUAAGUAAGAGGGGGAAAUCGAACUUAAGACAUCGAAUCGGGUGCAUAGGUAAAUCUUCUUAAUCGUGGCAUCCUUAACCACUUGGGGCCGUAAAAUUAUUAGUAAAAAUUACUCAUGAGUUUGUGGGAACCCGCCACAAAAGAGAACGAACAACUAAAACAUAAGCCGAAACGCAGCGUUUCGUUCGUCUCUAAUCUCUUUCGACUCUACUGUCUUCGAACAGUGAGCCAGAUACAGCAUCCCAGCACCUCAGCUCUCUCUCAGUCCUCAGUCAGUCCAAACUCCAAAGUCGUCUUCUCUAUUCUCUUCUUCUCCGAUAACCCAAAUUCCCCCCGUUGCAGCUUGCAGGCCUCCUUCGAACGGCGACGUAUCGAGUCUCUUUCUCUUCUCUUGUUUCUCGGCGAACCAGGUAUCUCCUCUGUCCUCUCUUGGUCCUGGCUCAAAUGAUCAUUGAUACAUUCCUGUUUCCUUUUUAUUUUUCAAAAUUAUGGGAAUUGGAGUUCUGGUGGAAUGAGAUGUGCGAAUUUAUGGUAUUUCGUUUAUGAAGCUCGAUGCUUAAAUUUUUAUUUUUAUUUUUAUGGAUAUAGGAUGAUAAAUUCGUAGAAAGAGACUUCUAAUAGCUUAGAAAAUUUGGGAUAACUUACAUUGCCCUCGUGAUUGAUCUUGGUUCUGUUUUCAUUUUUUAUUUUUUUGGAAUUUUUUUAGCUGAAGUUGUGAACUUUAAUCGCUUUAUUUGGUUAAAAAAACAAUAUGGACGGAAUAAAAUCACCAGGGUUGUAUUUGGAUUUGUGGAUUCAAAAUGGGGCAUAUAAAUUAGGGUUUUUGGUUUAGAUAAUUGAUAGGUUGAGCCUAAUAUGCUGUCACGUAAAAUUUUUGUUUGCAAAUAGAUAGAGAAACUUUUACUUGCAACGUAUCUGUUACAUUUUGGAUUUUACUAUCUGUCAAUACAAGUACUGAAAAAUGUGUUGUUUAUGAUUAGGCAGUUGGUUUAGAUAAUGGAUUACACUUGUCAAGGGAAAAUAUUAGAGAUAAGUGACAAGGAAGAAAUAUUUGACGCAAUUGAUGAACUAAAAGUGGGAAUGGAGGUGUCUAAUGAAGCUGAAGCUUACAAUCUAUGCAACACCUAUGCCUUUAGGAAAGGUUUUAGUAUUCGUAAAGGGAAUAUUCGAAGAGAUGCGCAAAAUAAGGUCAGGCAAAGGGACUAUUUUUGUUCAAAAGAAGGGUUUCAAUCAGAUGAAGAUUUGUGUGAAGUGAAAAAGGUGAGAAGAUUAGACACAAGAACAGGUUGUAAGGCUCUAAUUCGAUUCACCGCGGAUAAUGGUAUAUGGAAGAUCAGUCACAUCAAUCUAGAUCAUAAUCAUGAGUUUGCUAAGCCUGAAGAAAGACAAUUUCUACGAUCAGGUCGACAUAUACCACGUGUCCGUGCAGGUAUGCUUGGCCCUAAGGUUGAUGAGAGUACAAGACCAACAAAAUCAUACUCUUACUUGGGAAAAAAGUUUGGCAAUGCUGAGAAUGUUGGGUCCACUAAUAAAGAUUGUCUUAAUUAUUUGCAAAGGAAUAAGGAAGAAAUGCUAGAAGGAGGGGAUGGGCAAAGUUUGAUAAAUUAUUUUAAGCAUAAACAAAUGGAGGAUCCAAGUUUUUUCUACAGUGUUCAAGUGGAUCAAUUUAAUCGGAUCACAAAUUAUUUUUGGAGAGAUGGUAGAUCAAAGUUAGAUUAUGAUUGCUUUGGAGAUGUUGUAUGCUUUGACACCACAUUUCGAACCAAGAAAUACAAUCUAAUUUGUGCUCCAUUUGUGGGUGUUAAUCAUCACUGCAAGAAUGUCUUAUUUGGUUGUGCUUUUGUAUCGGAUGAGAGCACUGACUCAUUUAUUUGGUUGUUUGAAACAUUUUUGGAGUCCAUGGGAUAUAAGCAACCGAAAACCAUUUUCACAGAUGUGGGUAAUGCAAUGGCAAAUGCAAUUGUGGUUAUGCUUCGAGAGACACGCCAUCGCCUAUGCAUAUGGCACAUAUCUAAGAAUGCUACACAAUAUAUUGGAUCUCAUUAUUCUAAUCACGAGUUCAAGGAGCACUUUAACAAAUGCUUUCACGAUUGUCUCACUGAAGCGGAAUUUGAAGCUACAUGGAAUGACUUGAUUAGAAAGUUCAACCUUGAGAGCAAUUCGUGGCUGCAAGAGUUAUAUUCACUUAGAGAAAAAUGGUGUCCUGCUUUUAGCUUAGACACUUUUACAGCCAAUAUUAGAUCCUCCAAUAGAGGUGAGAGCAUAACCAGUACAUUCCAUCAAAUUUCUACAAAAACAAUGGAUCUCAUUGGUCUUGUACAGCAUUACGAGAAAAAAACAAAAGUGGUGCGGUCAGCAGAGUUGGAAGAGGAUUUUCGUUGUAAAAAUGGUAUGCCUCAUCUUAGAGCAAAUAGUGGUAUCUUUAAGCAUGCAGCUUCUGAGUACACAAUUAAAAUGUAUUCAUUCUUUGAAAAUGAGCUUAUGAGUAUCUUUGGGGUGAGGAUGAUAGAAGUUGGUAAUGAUGGCAACCAAUAUAUUUAUGAAGCAAUUGAAGAAGGUCAUCCAAGAGUCUACAUUAUUGAAUAUAACUCCGCUACUUCCAUGGUUUCUUGUUCUUGUAAGUUAUUUGAAUCCAUAGGAUUGUUGUGCCGUCAUGCCCUAAAAGUAUUGGAUUUAAAAAACUUCACAAGCAUUCCGACCAGGUACAUAGAGAAGAGAUGGACUAAAGGGGCAAAGAAAAGGAUUGUGGAGAGUAGUCAUUUAUAUGAGUCGUCAUAUAAAAUGGGGAAGUCUGCUCAAUCAUUGCGCCUAAGUGAGUUGAUGCAUGAAGGAAAUAAUGUUUUCAGUAUAGGCUCAUUGUGUGAUUCAGGAACGAGAAUUGUUAAACAGAAGUUGGUGGAGGCCAUGAAGUUGCUUGAAAGUGAUGAGGAAACUACAUCUUUGCAGGGAAAUUUGAACAAAGUAGAUGAUCAAUUUGUUCGUGAUGUGCUUGAUAACUGAAGGUAUUGACUCUCCUACUUGCGAGGGCCAAACAAAUUGUACUUUGUUGUGUAAGGUUUCGGAACAUGGUUUUGUUUCUUCCUUUUUUCUUUUUUGGGUCUCUUUAGGUUGAAGCUGUCAUUGUACAUAUUUUCGUUUCAGGUCACAGCUCCCUUAUGUUAGAAAUAUUCUGUUGUAGUGCUCCUUAUAUGUAUGUGCUUUGUAUUGGAGUUUAUUAACUUUGGUCAGUUUGGGAUGAAUUUAAGUAGCAUAUCCUUUUGGUCUAUGAUAUUUUGUGGUUCUUUCUUCUUAUACUUUAGUUCGUGUGCUUCUUGUGAUCUUGUUUUUAUUUGGAAAGAGUUGCUUUCUUGGCAUAUUUUGUGCUACUCAUUAUAAAGAGGAAAGAUGAGUUGUGUAUUCAUUUUGUCAUCUGGGUGCUAAAGAUUGCUUGGGACAAUACAAAACAGGUGCAUUGUCCCUAUAUAAUCGUAAUAAACUUUUGAAUAAUGAUUUAUGGAGGAGAUUAGUUCUCCACGACCAAAGAAAUUAAAUAAGAUUAAACAAAAUUUAAAAAUACCAGGUAUCGCCGCGCGGCUAUACUAUUGAAAAGGACCCAGCGAUUAGCGCCACGUGUCAAAACAAGUCCGGCCGGGCGGCUAUCUUAUUUUUUGAAAAAAAUCACCAAGUAUAGCCGGGCGGCUGUACUAUUUUUUUUUUCAAAAGAGGGCCCCAAAAGCGAUUAGGCGCCACGUGUAAAAAUACGUACAGCCGCACAGCUCCCAGGCGCCCAGGUGGAAAAAGAGUAUAGCCGGGCGGCUAUACUCUUUUAAAACAAUUUUUAAAACCGGGUAUAGCCGCUCGGCUGUACUAUUUUUAAAAAAGAAACAAGUCUAGCCGCGCGGCUAUACGAUUUUUUUUUUAAAAAAAGAGCACUCCCUUGCCUUUAGGCGCCACGUGUCAAAAAAUAAAUAAAACAGAUCUGCUAGACGAUUUUUAAAAAAAAUAUAUACGUAGUAUAGCCGCGCGGCUAUACUUCUUAAAUAUAAUUUAUUUAAUAGUAUAGCCGAGCGGCGAUACUAUUUAAUGAAACAUUUGAAUAAUGAUUUAUGGAGGAGAUUAGUUCUCCAUGACCAAAGAAAUGGUUCAAAUCCUAAUUAAAUGAAUUCGUUAUCUGAACAACCCGGACAACUCAAACCCAUUGAAUUGCUAAUCAAGCCCUCGGAGUUAGCUCAAGUGGUGAAGAUCGAUGCGGAAAUGGUUUAGGGUUAGACAAGGUCAAGGUUGGAUUCUUCCGUUCUAACCCGAAAAUGAUUUUUGGUUAUUAAAAAGAAGUAUAUAAGUUUAAGGCUUUUUAAACCCACCCAAAUGUUAGCGCUCUUGAUAAACAUUUUGCUUUGUUAGGUAGUAGGGGUGUAUCUUUAUAGCAAACUGAGAUUUGGGUUUUGGAAAACAGAAAGUGGCAACAUGUUUGGGACAGCGAUAAGGUGUAUUGCGAGGAAACCAAAACCACAGAUGAAACCCAUAGAGCUCAAAACCCCACCUGAGCAGACGCAGACCAUCACUAGGGCCAUCUUCGAUAUCGUCAAGGAGCAUGGUCCUCUCACCAUUACUGAAACCUGGGAUCACGUUAAGGUGAUUUGAGUGCUGCUAUUGUAACUAUGUACUUCAUUUUAGGUGUAGUUAGUUAUUGCGUACCAAUUGUUUGAUUAAAUGUCUGAGUCGUUUUCAGGAAGUUGGGUUGAGAGGAUUGACGAGCAAGAGGCACAUGAAGAUAGUGUUGAGGUGGAUGAGGGAGAGGCAGAAGCUUAGACUAAUUUGCAACCAUGUAGGGCCUCAGAAGCAGUUUCUGUAUACGACUUGGUUUACAAAGCCCAAUCUCAAGCAGCAGGGAAAACCAGUAAAUGAUUCUCCACAACCCAAGUCUCCUUGAAGUCUCUGGAUUAUUAGUUUAAGAGUAUUGCUCUACCGUUAUCAAACUUUGAGUUGUUUUGCUACAACCAUCGAUGUAAAACUAGAAGCUAAAGGGCUAAGUUGUAAUGGUCUCUCUUUCCAACUUGUCAGUGAUUCUUAUUUAGUUAAUGGUUUGGAGACUGCUGAGACUGCUUGAGCUCGAUAAGUCCCCCAUUUUCAUAGUUCAAGGUGAAUGGACGAUGCCGAAUUUCAACAAAUAAAAACUAACUUUUGUUCUGGAUGUUCUUUUUUAAAAAAUUUACCAAAUAAAACGGGCAAAGACCUGAAAGGGCAGUCGCAUGCACGAGUGGGCAAUCUCCUCCAGCCGUUGAUGCAAUUUGGGACUCACAUGCAUCAACGGCUGAAAGUCGUCCACUCACAACUAACUGGCAAAUCACCAUCCCCGACCAUAAAAAUAUGCUAAUGGUAUAAAUGCCAUAAUGCAUCAAGGAAAUCCAUAAAAAAGAGAGUUUGCGCGUAUUCAGUAAGUUACAGGCUUACAGCACACAUAUCUCCUUACAAGAUUACGAAUGAUGCUGGGUUUUUUACUUAUCCACCAAGCAUUUCACUGAAAUGCCAAUUUUUCAAAUCCAUGCUCUAGCAAAAUCGAUCAUGUCAUUGUCAACCUUUUGAACAAGCUACUAGCUAGAUGUCUUAAUUUGUACACAAUGUACAUAAGAAAGCGAAACCUGAGGGGUGAUUAUGUCACCAUAAAAGAAAAAUCGACCCACUAAUCUAAGUGUAGUUCAUCUUCUUUUGCUAAGCAACGAAAUCUCUAAAACAGGAGAAGCGAGCAUGUGUAGCAUUCUACUUGACAGUUCAAGGCCUCAAAGUGUUAGGAAUCUGAGUGGCUCUUUGACUUGUGCAACACUUCCUUCAGAACGGCAGCAAUUCUAUUUGCCAUAUGGUGUUCUAGAAACCUUUCUUUGACCCUUUUGUAGCCUCUCUUCCCCAUUGUAAGCCUCCUCUCAACAUGAGUGGCAAGUUUUACAAUAUUUUUCGCAAGAGGAGUGAUCCCUUCCUUCCCAACAGGAUGCAACAAACCUGUUGUUCCAUUCACUACAAUCUCUGUGGUGCCACCUGCUGCUGUUCCCUGAAAUAAAUAUUUGAUUUGGAAAUUAGAAAAAUGGCAAUGGGAAUGGGUCAAUAGGAUUAGCAGUAGCAGCAUGAGUUACAAGAUAUUACGCAAAAUAACAAGAGGAAGGUUCUUUACCAAUACAGGCAGCUGAAAUGCCAUGGCUUCAAUAGUUAUCCUACCAAAGCAUUCUCCCCGUGCCUAUGGAAGGGUUUAAAAAAAAAAAAGAAGAUGAAAAAGGAUAUAUUAAUUAGAUUUAUGUAGUUUCAACCACAUUAGGGUCAGACUUGCUGGGAAAGACGUUAAUAUCAAUGCCUAUGUAUGAUUACUAUUAUGCUAACUGGGAACUUAUUCACAUUAAAAACUAUGGUUUUGCAUCCUAUAUGUAUCAUAUGUUCUUCUAUCUGCAACUUUUUCUAUAAAUAAGAUAUUAAAAAAAAACAUUUAAUAAGAGAAAAAUCUUUCUAAUACCUGGGAAUUUUGAACAAGGACAUCAAUUGCAGCCAGAUAUGGAGCUACAGUCAGAGUUUUGUCUACAAAAUGAACAUGAUCUUGAAUUUUCUUCAUCGAUACAAAGUUACGUAGUUCAUGCUCAAACUUGGUGUGAGCAGUCAUGUCACUCCCUACAAUUACAGCAUGCAUUCUAGGCAGUUGCAGCUUCUUCUCUUGGAUCAAUCGCAAGCUUUCAUAGAAGGAACGCAAAAACAGAUCUUGGCCUUUUCCACGUGAAACACCUGUAGUCAUGAGGUGUACUUCAGUGUUCACAAGGUAUGCACAAACUAACCAUAAGACUAUUUUUUAUUUUUCAUUUCCUAAUGGCAAUUUAAAUGGAAAUUAGUAGACUUCCAUCAAAUAGCUUGAACUACUUACUGUUUAUGAUGGCAAAUAGUAGAUCUUCUCUUCGCACUCCAAGAGACUCCCGGACAUGCUCACGCAAAACCCUUUUUGCUACACUAUCUUCAGCAACUUCCAUCAGUUCCUUGCUGUUUCCAAGGUGAACAACAAAGGUCUCUGGCAUUUUGAUACUGCAGAGAGCAAAUGAGUGGAAAAAGUAAACCAAAAUUUGAUAUAAAAAAGAAAAAGAGUCAAUAUUUGAAGCCUACCCCAAACGUUCUCGAGUCCUAUUCUCCCAAUAUUCUGCUGUUACAUGCGAAUCUAUCAUAGAACCUGCAACAAGCGGGAGGUGCUUGACAUAAUCCAAUUUGAAGUAAUGGCCGCGCAUUUCAUGGAUCCACCACAACACUUUCGGGAGAACACGGGGAACAUUUUCCUUAAGAACAACAUCCAACCAUUUCCCAGAAACUGCAGUGUUCAAUACAACCAAAUCAGCUUUGAGAGCUGUAUAUACAGCUUCUUGGCCAUUUUCAGAGAGGACCUGCAGAUGUAUAAAAGCAUUAUUAGAAACGUGCUGAGAAGUUACAGAGAAAUCCAGACAAGGCCAUAAUUUAGAUAAAAUCAAAUUGGAAGAUUGGUUUACUUCGCUUAGUUUCCGUAACAAGUGGCCAGCGGUGUGAAUAAAACAAUGCUUCCGAGAUCAUGAAAUAUUGAGAUGAUAAAGAUAACUAUGUAACGCAUAGACAACUAGACUGCAAAAGAAGACAUUCACAAUAACUUUUGAAAAUAAAUUAAGAUUUUGUACCUGCACCCCUCGGUCCAACAUUUUAUGUUCCAAACUGUAUAUCACUACAUCUGCAUCUGAUGGUUUCAUGGUUGUAACCCAACAAACUUCAGUGCCAACACCUCUUAAUAAAAAUGCUAGCUCCAUCAACAACAAAGGUCCACCUGGAAGAAUGUUCAAUAUGUCAUACCACCAGUAGAGUUUGUAAGAUAUAUGUAAAGAAAAAUUUAAAAUGAAAAGAAAAACAAGACAGCUCUUUUCAUUUAAAAAAAGAAAAAAUAAUAAUUAGGAGAAAGGGGUUUAUGAAAAUAUGAUCCAAAAUAGAGAGAAACAAAGAGCAUAAAUUGAUUGGAUAAAAUAUAUCUUCAGCCAAAUAUUUGGUUAAGGAAGGCGAUAAGCUUUCAUGAGUUAUGCUAGCCUAGAAAAAACCAAUGUACAUACGAUUCCAUGUUAUUUCAGUAUGCCAACGAAUAAAGUAAUUAUAACAGAAGGAACAUAUGCACAUUACUGAAUGUUGGUCUGUUGACGCCUGUCAGAAUAUUCAUCCAAUAUGAACAUUACUGAAUGUUGGUCUGUGUACUACAAAAUUUUUGGAAAUAUUCCUCAUUUACGUGAUAUUACAUUAAAUGCAGUAAGUUAGUGUCGAAGACACAAAAACAAGUGUAUCCCAAUAAAUAGGCAAAUAUUCAAAAGACGACAGAAAUUUCAUGUCGAGCAGUUACACAUUGCUGAGAAAUUCCAGAAUUUUUUUAAAAUUUUUUUGGUUCUCACCCAGAUUAAAAAGCCAAAGCUAAGGGUGACUGGUGGAGAGAAGGCACAAGAACUUAUUGUUGAAUGGGUUUUAAAAAUCCAUCCCAUAUUUGGAAACCCAGUAGCUCAAAAAUUUAUUACAUAUGAGUGUCUUCGCCAUCUUAAGUAGCUAACUUUCUGUGUACGUAUAAUCUAAGUCAUCAAAAGCUCAACAUAACUAAUCACACCACUAAUAGCUGAAAUUGCAAUCAAUAACUUGAAGCACAAUGAAACAUCAACAAUGCAUUAAAUUAGCAAUAAAAUAAUGGAGACAGAGACAGCACCAGAAAGAGAGAGCUCGUGCGAGACUAACAGCACGAGCUUGGACUUCAUGAAGCUGAGGGGGCUAGGACUGGUCCCAAUGGGAGAGCCCAAAGGAACCCUCUUGUCGACUACAUCCAUGCGACGGUCGCAGGAAUCGAAGGCGGCUCUGAUGAAGAAGGCGAUCAAGGUGGAGACGGAGAGCAUGACGAGAAAGGCCAAGAGCCAGCGCUUCUGCGACGCGACCCACCCGACGGAGUGCUUGGCCAUCUCUAGGGUUUGGAGAGUAGGCGAGGUCCGUUACUGCUAGUCUCAGCGGCAUAAUUCUAGGGUUUGGAUUUUUGACUGCGACCGGUGGGUUUGGUACAUUUGGCUUUCUGUGAUUGAAGACACUUGUAAAUAAUAAAUGAAAAGGCUUUUCGAUUUCGAAGGCAGCUGUGUGGCUGGCUUUGGCGUUGAAAGCUUCAAAUGUUGGUGAUAUUAAUGGCGGAUUCUGAAGCUCGUUGCUCUGCUAUUUGUGUUGUUCAGAGAAACGGAGCACGGAGCUCAAGUUGGAGGAGAGAGAGUUGCUUUCUUCUCUGUCUUUGGCUCCUUUUUGGCAUUACCAAUACUUUUUGCUUUUUUCGGUUUUUGGUUUUUAAUUUUUUAAUUUUCUUUUUUGCUUUUUUGUUUAGGAAAUAGGAAUAAUGCAAAUGCCAUUUUGCAAAAUCUUUUUCUUUUUGGUUUUCUCUUUCCUUUUCCCCUUUUCUUCCCAUUUUUAAACACUUGUUUGCUGUCAUCAAAUUUCCCUUUCUCUUUUCUUCUUUUACUUUUGAAAACAAACUCUUUUUCUUUUGGGAGCAGUUAAUUGCCACUUUAAAAAGUCGUCAUGAACUUAUCCAAGUGCAAUUUUAUAUCUUUAUAACCAGAGGGUUUAAGAACUAUAUGAUUGUUUAGACGUAACAUAAAAUUAAAAUGCUAAAUUAAUUAAAAAAUAUUAUAACUUUUCUUUUGGGUAAAUACCAUGAGGUUCGGCUUGUUUCAAGCCACAACGUGCUUUCAACGAGUUUCAAAUCCCUGCAAUUGAGUCAUCAGGUAGCUCGAUAGCUGAAGUUGACAAUUUGCCAACUGCACCACAUCUUAUGGUUAAAAAAAUAUUAUAAUUUUGUCUCUUAAUAUAUACAAACUUCAAGCACACUCAAACCGAUCGUACACCCUUAUCCAACCCUCAUUUUAGUGACGGAUUGGAUUGUACCAAAAAUUUUCAACCCCGUAACCAGCGGAGAUGUACGAGCAUAAUCCAUUUCCUAUUUGCAUACAACAGAAUUAGAAUAAGGAAUUGGUUCAUAUACUUAUUAUUUAAUUUCCUAGCUUAGGCUACCACAUGUCGCGUAUUAAAUUAAAUUAUUUGUUGAUUAUCAAUCAUGUAAACCUCAUGUUUUCUUGGUCCAUUUUUUAAUUUUGACUUAUGUCCCCAAAAUACGUCAAUAUCAUCCUAAUAACAUUAAAUUAAUGUUAAUUUUAUAGUUUAUAUUCGAGACAUAAAUUAACUCAAAACCACAAGAUAUGGUGCGGUUGGUAAACUGCUAUAUUUAAUUGGCAAGCUAUUUGGUACCUCAAUAGCAGAGGUUCGAAGUCCAUUGGAAACAUUUUGUGGCAAGGAGCAAACCGAACUCCGAGCGGACAUUAAUUCCACCAUUCGGGGGUGUAGGGACAACUUAUAGUAUUUACCCAAAAAAAAUCAAUAUAAAUAAUGGUGACCCAUUAUUUAUUAUAUGAAAAUUGUCUCGCGGGACAAAAGACCCAGAAUCUCACAGCGGUCGCCGGUCGCAACCCAACAGUGGGCGAGAGUGGCCUUCUUUCUUCUUCACUAGGCGCCGGUACACUAACAGACAGUACAUGCCAAGCAAUGCGGAGCCUACGACGCCGUUUCCACUUUCAUUCUUCUUCUUCUUCUUCUUCACAUCGCAUUUUGUUUGCACUACUUACAGGUUCGUUCCCAUUCCUUCAUGUCUUCGAUAAUUAACAGCAGCCUUUCCAUAUCGUCAUUUAUGAAUAAACAAAGGUUUCAAUUAUGAAUAUAUAUAUUUUGUUUCAGUUCUUGUAUCACAGGCGCUUCAAGCAGCCUCACUCGUGGCGCCGAGAUCCAAUUGCUACGCUUUCGAUAACUCUAGCCGCGUCGUCGAUUUUGUAUCCUUACGCAAACAAUUACUGUGGCUUGUUAAUUAGUAUUAUUUCGCAAUAAUAAUAACAAUGCUUAAUGCUACUGCCUUCAAGUUUGGGUUUGAUUUUGUGUGAAAUUUGUUUUCUCUUAAGCUGUUAACCAGAGUAGUUGGAUUGGACAUCCGUUUGAGUACGACGGGAAGGUAAUUUCAAUUUCAAUUCUGUUACGGUGAUAAUUGAAAUUAUGGUGCACAUAUGUUAUGAAUUUUAAUAUUGCUGUAAAAUUUCAUAAUUAGCUCAGUUCAUACUCAGAUUCCAGAGGUAUCGUCACUCAUAAGUUUGUUUGGGAUGAUACAGGACUCCGACUUGGUGCUUCGAUUUUGCAAAGAUGUGGAGAGUAGAUCACAAACGGUAGUCCAUAUCACCAUGAUCUCAAGUACUUUACCAUUUGCUUUUAUUUUUAUUUUUCAAUUUUUGAUUUUUAUGUUCAUUAAUUUAAUGAGCCUGUAUUGGAAAGUUCGUAUGUAUAUAAGCCAUUCAGUAGUAUUUCAUGUAAAGCUCCUGUAUAUGCUUAUUCUAUUAGCUUCAUUGCUGCAUUGGCUGUUAAGUUGCCACAUUAAUAACAUAUGAAUAAAUUUCAGUUUGUGUUCGAUUAGGUGUUUUUGUUUGAAUUUGCUCCUUUUAAUGCAGGGAUAUGUAGAUUUUGGUCGAUUUGAUAAGUUCAACUACUUUGUUUCUGGUUCAGGACACGUUGACUUUGUUCAAGUGAGCUUCCUUUUUUUUUUUUUUUUUUUUGGUUGAAAAUGAUGCUACAGUUUGGUUUCUUUCAUGUAAUAGGAAAAUGCAGUUGUCAUAUUUAUCUCUAUUUCUGAACAUAUAUAGGGGUUUUAUAAUGGCGACCUGGCGAAUUGUGAGCACAGUUAUGAUAAAUUGGGACGAACAGCUCAGGUUGAUUUAUGCUGGAAAACUUCCACCCUCUAGCACCCUUAUUUCUUUCUCCUGGAAGUUUUCAUAUAUAUAUAUUUUAAAUAUUUGGCAAUCACUGUCAUUCCACUUCUCUCAUAAUUUUUUUUAUUUUUAUCUUCUUUAAAUUCAGGUAAACAUCAUAUGUGGAAGUUGUUUAAAUGGCCAAUGCACAGGUUUGUGUACCUUUCAUUUCUAAGUUAUAUGUACAGUCACCAUUUAUACUAGGAAUUGAUAUGCCCCCUUUUGAACUCUGUCUUUGGUUGAAUGGACAGCAGAUAAUAUAAGAAAAUUCUAUGGAGACCCUUAACAAAUUGGAACCAUUGCGAUUAAAAGGGCCACUUGUUAGUAAGGUGGUGAGAAUAAUAAGUUUAGGUGGAUAGGGAGAAGGCGAUGAGUUUCAGGAAUAAGAUUUAAGAUAUGACUAGGUCACUAGAAGAAUUUUUGCAAACUGUUUCAUCAAGAAAGAUAGAGCACUAGAGAGGGAGAGGAAGAGAGAAAGCGGAAAGAGGAAACUACAAGUAACUCUGAUAUUUCAUACCUAAUUAAAACACUGACAGAAGGUCUCAUUGCUUCAUCCUGUUUUCUAUCAAAAACUACUUACUUACAAUUUUUUUCCUCCUCAAGUUACAUCUCUACCAUUAAUAUUGUACUGCCUCUGACUCUGUCAUUUUCAGUAAUCUAAGACUGAUUCUUACUAUUGUUUGUUUUCAGGUGGACUUGGAUGCAUCUGCAAAGUCACUUAUGAGUCGAGUUGCAGGUCUUUUGAAUAGUACCUUGAUUUCCACUUUAUGUUGCAUUAUAAUGAAAUGUGGUGUUAAAUCUCUGUUAAUUGAGUCAAUCAUUGCAUGCUGGUGUUGGGAUAACAGAAAUGCUUCAAUAUAUGAGCCUUCAUUUAUUAUGAGACACUCAUGUUUCCCUGAUUCUGUUGCAAUUCCUAAAUGUUUCAGAGUUUUUCUCGAACUAGCUAUUCCAUGCGAGAAACCAGGACCACGAGUAUUUAAGGGCUUCACUGUAGGUUUCCAUCCACGGUCAUGGGAACUUGUAAGAAUUGUUUUAUUCUCCCUGAUGCAUCUUAAUUUUCCCAGGCAAAAGUAAAUUAUUUUCUGAAGGAACCAUUUUAUGAACUUGCAGGUUUAUGAUGGCAUGACUCAAUUGGGCUAUGAAAAGUCUCACCAUGAGUUUAGGUAUAGGAAUUAUUUGAGUUGUUUUGCUUCAUUUAACAUCCCUUCCCCCUAACCCAAAAAAGAAAAUGUAGUAUCCAUCAAUCUAAAUAAAGUUUGCAUUUUGCAGCUUUGGGACUGAGCAGACACAUGUAACGCUUUAUAUGACUGCAAUUGCUUCCCUUUCGACUUUGGUGCAAAGACCUGUUAUUAAGGUACUCGAAUUCCUUAUACUUUGAUGCAUGGGAAACCAUUUAUCAUUGAAUAAGUUGGUCCAAGUAUGUAUCCUUUGUUUAAUAAAAUAUUUGCAGGUCUUACCAGAAAAUGGUCUGGAGGUUAAGGUAUCAGGGUCGGGAGCAACUGGGAGCCCUCCUACAACUUUGUCACCCACAAUGUUAAAUGUUGAUUGGAGAUGUAAGGGUAUCCUUUGCUGCAGUGGGCUUUGAUAUCCCUUACAAUAAAGUCUUCUUAGUUUCUUUUUGUAAUUUUCAGGUGAAAAGGCUCGUGAUACUCCAUAUGAAGUUAAUAUCACUAUCCCAGUAGAGGGUUACGAGCCCAUCCAGUUUUUUCUUGCCAAACUGUGUGGUAGGCUCAUACUGCCGUCACUGAUAACUACUGCCUUCCCUCUCAAUCCUUACUCUUCUGAAAAUCGCUGUUUCAAAUUAUGGAGAGACAUAACCAAUCUUAAUAGAACAAGUUCUGAAGAUGCAAUGUAGUACUUCAUGUUAAAGCUAUCCUUCUUGCACUAGAACUUGCUGGUGAAACAUGAUUGGACUGUGUUCACUGUCUACCAAUUAGGAAUGAGUCCCUCAAUAAUGUCAUCACUCUCAGAAAUUAUUACAUUCAAGUUAAAUGGCUAAUAAGGGAAAGUGGAGACAAGGGGUGUUGGAAUUGAAAACACUAAUGGUUUGAAAUAAUAUCAAGGUUCGUUCAAUUUUGCAGAAAACAGGCAGAACCAAAAUGGAAACAGUGCACGGGGAUGGGCUAUAUUUGGGGUGUUAUCCUGCAUGUAAGGCAGUUCCUACUGAAAAUUAUAGUAUUGAUAAAUUGUAGAAAUUAUGUAUUAUGUAUUUUAUCUGAAGUUUGAUUUUUCAAUGAACUGUCUUGGAUCAGAUUCGCUGUCUCAUCGACCCUGUUUUGCUGUGGAGGAUUUAUUUACAAGACUCAAGUUGAAAGGAAGGUAGGCCCUUUUCUAUGGCUUCAAAGUCUUGGAUGGUUUCCAAAUUUGCAGCUUUUCAUCAUGGUCUCAAUUUGUAUGUCCUCAAUUAUAUAUUUCUAUUUGAUCACAUGCAGCGUGGGAUUGAUGCAUUGCCGGGAAUGACAAUUCUAUCUGCUUGUUUAGAAACUGUAAGUAUACAUCACUAACACAAAUAUUCCUUGUAUUCCUUUGGCCCAUUUUCCAUAAGGCUCAAAUUCUUUGGGACAAAUAAACCCUGCAAGAUGCUUUAGUUUUAAAUUGAAAAGAAACCUUGCAAAGCAAGGGAACUGAGUUAUGAAGCAAAUAGGAAUACUAUUUGCCACGCCCUCUGUAGACUUUCUAAUGGUGUUGAAUGUGGGGGGUACAAAAAUAGGUGAGUGACGGAGGGCACAGCUACACCCGACCAGAAGACCUUAAUACUACUUUUGCCAGUGAAGCCUCUUGGGAACGCUCUUCUGCUUCUAGUCAAGGAACAUCAAGGCCGAACGAAAGAAAAUACGGUGCAAUUUGAACGUUACGAACCAGUGAGCCGCAGCUAACUUGUAUUAGUACACGAAAUGUGAGGGUUUUGAAGUUAUACAACCUGUUUGUCUUUUGACGAUACCAAAUUUCAUAGCAUGUAAUUUUGGAUGUUGUAAUCUCAAGUUAUCAGCUGAAAUCAAUAUAGAUCUCUUGCUCAUUAAUUUGUCAUCUGCGACUUGGAAAGCUAUUAGCAAAGUUGCUAAGGGAUAUACGAGCUAUGAUGGCAUAUGCUCUUUUCUUUGAGGCCUGUAAGAUGUCACUUGCAAAUUUACAAAUGAGGAAUCAGAGCCUUAAAGGAGUUGUUCUCCAACCCCGCUUAUAAUAUCUUUUAUCAUAUUUGGAUCUUCCAGAUUAACCUAAUAUUCCCGUUAUCAUACUUGAUUAUAAUUUAACUUUUCUUCAUGCCUCCAUACGCGUUUAACACACAAUGACAAUUUAUUUACUAAUAUUGUCGAUCCUGAAGUCAAAAAGCCACAAAAUAAAGGAAUCAAUGUCAAUUCAUGGAUAGUAGGGGGAAGAAAAAGAACAAGAAAGAAGACAGGAGAUGAAUAUUAGGUGUAAAGAAAUGUUAAAGGGCAGUCGCCUAUCCAAGUGGACAACUCUCAGUUGUUGAUACGUGGGGGGGCUCGUGAGCUUGCAUCAUUAAAAUCCAUACAAUGAACAUCUAGACGGCCAUUAAAUUUCAAUGUGAACGUUAGGGGAAAGGGGAAAAAGUGCCCAAGUAUGAAGGGUUCAACCCUAAUUUUGUGGCUUGCUCUAAGAUACCUUUACAGACAUUGACAAUGUCAGAAGCUUUGAGUCAUCUAGUUUAGUUUGGGUAACUAUAUACUCUGUCAAACACAGUAGUUGAGUCUGCUCCUACUCUCUCUUUAUUGUCAUCACAAAACAAUUAACAAAAGGUUGACCUGCUUCUGUUCCACAUGGAAUCGGUAGUCAAUUGCAAUGCUGUGAUCCAAUAACACGUGGGACGGUGAAAUGUUUGCUUAACAUAUUUGACAAGAAUUACCCAACAAAAUUUGGGAAUCAUUUUGAAAGUUACACAAGGUUUUUUUAUAAUUAUUUUUAUUUAUACAAGCGAUAUUAAGAGAGGGGAGAAUAGAACCUAGGAUUGCAUGUGCAAGGGUAAAUGUUUUUAACCACUUGAGCUAGUUUUAACUUAAGAAAAGAGUGUUAGAAGAACCCUAAUGUAGAACUCUAGCCAAAGUUCAAAUUUUCUUAUUAAUCUUCAAUACAUGGAAAAUUACAUUAAUGGACCUUCCAAAUGCUUGCUAACACGUUAUUCUAAUUGGAAUUUUCUGAGACCGAGAUCUAAAUGAAGGUGGGAUGUUGUUGUAAUCAAUUAAUGGAAAUUGCUUAACUGAUGAUCUAAAGGCCCACUGUACUGAUAAUUUUUUCUAUGUCAAGGAUACUUGGAUUAUAAGCCAAAAAGGUUUGUUCUUCUAUAAUGAGCUGAUUGAGCUUAGAUCUUGUAUUAACAUGAUGAUUAGUCACCCCAAAGAAUGAAAGCUUUGUACCAACUCCAACCUUCUCUUCUGAUCCUGUCUAUUGAUGUAGCUACCGAAAGUAAGUUACCAACUCCAGCUUCUCUAUACCUCACUCUUGAAAGUUGUGUACAAAGUCUCCUCUAUAAAUACUCCCUAAGCCAUCCCAACAUUCAUCAAAGCAAGUCUUGGGGAGAGCUUUAUUUUCAUUUGACAAUUUCAAGUCUUCUUCUUCUCUAGUGGUCUUACUAGACUUGAACUAAGGGUACCCCAAAAAAAAACAUUAUGGCUCAGUCUUUGAGCUUCCUUCUAGCUCUUUCUCUUCUUGCCCUUGUCCCACUUUGUUUCUGUGAUAAAACUCUUGGUGGGUAUCUCUACCCACAGUUUUAUGACCACUCCUGCCCUAGAGCAACAGAGAUUGUAAAGUCUGUUGUUGCCAAGGCUGUUGCAAGAGAAGCUCGCAUGGCUGCCUCUUUGCUUAGGCUGCAUUUCCAUGACUGCUUUGUACAGGUAUCGGAUUACAAAAAUCAGCCGAUUUGCUUCUAGUUAAAUAUUGUAUCAAAUCAUUCUAAUGCAUCUCAUUUGAUAAAUAAAAAAAGAAGUUAUGUUAACACCUUAUGACUGAGGUACUUAAAAUCAUGUUGGUAAUUUUGAAUGUUGCAGGGUUGUGAUGCAUCAAUUCUGUUGGACAGCAGCAAGAACAUAAUCACGGAGAAGAGGUCUGUCCCAAACCAGAAUUCAGCUCGAGGGUUCGAAGUAAUCGAUGAAAUCAAGUCUGCAUUAGAGAAAGAGUGCCCCAACAGAGUGUCCUGUGCUGACAUUUUGGCUCUUGCUGCUAGAGACUCCACUGUGCUAGUAAGUGUUACAUUUUUAGCUUUGUAAAUUGCAUGGUGUAAGAACCUAAGCCUAAAUUCACAUAUGCUGACUAUAAAUUGUUGCUGCAUAUUGCAGUCUGGGGGGCCAAACUGGGAGGUUCCACUAGGCAGAAGAGAUUCAAAAGGAGCAAGUUUAAGUGGCUCCAACAACAACAUCCCUGCUCCAAACAACACUUUCCAAACUGUUCUCACCAAGUUCAAGAGGCAAAAGCUCAACAUUGUUGAUCUUGUGGCACUAUCUGGUAACAUUGCCAAAAAAACACAACAUAGUUCUUCAUUAUUUACUAAAAAUAAAAAUUACCAAAAAAGCUAACAUGCCCUGAGCUUUGUGUUUCUCGAUCAGUUUUUUUUAUUUCCAUUGAUAUGCAGGAAGCCACACCAUUGGAAAUGCCAGAUGCACCUCAUUCAGGCAGAGGCUUUACAACCAGUCAGGCAAUGGCUUAGCUGACUUCACCCUUGACCAAUCAUAUGCUGCACAGUUGAGAACCAGGUGCCCAAGAUCUGGUGGAGACCAAACCCUGUUUUUCUUGGACUUUGUCAGCCCAACGAAGUUUGACAACAGCUACUUCAAGAACUUGUUGGCUUCCAAGGGCCUCCUGAACUCAGAUGAAAUUCUUAUCACGAAGAGUGAAGUGACAAAGCAAUUGGUUCAACAGUAUGCUGAGAACACUGAGCUUUUCUUUGAGCAGUUUGCCAAGUCCAUGGUGAAGAUGGGAAAUAUUUCCCCACUUACAGGGUCAAGGGGAGAGAUCAGAAAGAGAUGCAGGAAGAUCAACUCAAUCAAUCAGAAUGCAUGAUUUCAGGGCCAUAAAAGUUCAUAUGUAGUGUGUGUUUUUCUGCUUUUCCAAGUUAUUUUUUUUCUCUCUUUCCCAAAAUAAAUUAUGAUUGUAAAGCUUGAUGUGGCCAUUAUAUUGUAGACAUCCAAUGAUGCAAGAUUAGUGCUUAUUGUGUUUUCAUGGAACUUGUACUAUUUUUCAUCUUCAAUAAUCUUUAAAUGCUUCGAUUUUAGUUAACAUCAACAAUCUACACUUUCGUUUAUUAUUUAUUUUUUGUAACGCAAUGCAAUAAUGAGAGAAACCACAAAGCUUGCUAUUCACAAAGCUAAAGUUACUUUUAGUAUUAUCUCAAACACCUAAAUUACUAAGAGAAUCUCCAAAAAAAAUGUCAAAUUGUCACGUUAUUUUGACUCAUCUUAAUAUUUUUCUCGAAACAACAAUGAAUUAUGGACUCAAAUUAGAGCUCGGAGCCUAAACUUACAAAAGUUAAAAUUUACUGUUUCCGAACUUAUUAGGCAUGUCAAACUGCUCCUCUAUCCUACGUCUCUUAUCAUCUUUCUACGUACGUCAUUUUAUUGUACCUAACGAGGCUUUGGAGUUGGGACUAAGAAUUGAGAGACAUGAGGCCCACCUUUGAUAAUGAUAAUGCAGUCUGUCAAAAGAUAGGAGAGAAGUUGCUUUUUGCACAGAUUCCUCAAGGCGUCCAUCGGAGAAACUUUCAAGUUAUUAUCUAACAUUUCAUCAGUGAUCCUAUAAUCAUAAAAAAAAUUCACGUUCCCAUCCAAAGAAAUAAAAUAAUAAUGGAGAAAAAAGUGAAGUUCUCGGAAGCAUGACCGGAAGACAAUCAUAGUGAUUUUCUAAAGACAGAUCCUUGUCAACAAGUUUCCCUUCACCCUUAAGAUGCUCCAUUAUUGGUGGUAACGUUAAAACAUUACUUAGCUAUGUAAAGUGUUGUUUGUGCUGCUUCUUUUAAGGCAAGGACUAUAGGGUAGCAGUAAUAAUAGGAAGGUGUUGCUUCCUUUAAACAUAAAGUAAUCUUCUCUAUUGCAUAUAGGCCAUAAGACUAAAUGACUUGAUUUGCUCCAAUAAUGCAUGGUAGAAAAACCAAUAAGUGCGUAUGACACGUUGUGCAAAGGAGUUUGAGCCUGGUUCGAGGAUUUUUGUACAAAGCUCGAGAAGAACCUCAAGUGUUUGUAUCUUUAAAUCUUUAAAUAAAUAGAGAAAGAAACUAAAAAAUCUUUACUGUGCUACUAAAAAGUUUAGUUUUCCAAAUUUUCUUAAUAACCAUGUAAUCUAAUAUGUGAAACAUGCUAUAAUCUUAAAAAUUAGGCAAUGGGUAUUCUGAUUAACUUGUUGGGUGUAUUGUAAAUAGAAAUUCCCAAAAACCUUUGGGCCAAACGCGGUUCAAGGCCCAAAAACGGAUUUGGGCCCAUCAUCAAUUUUUGUCCGAAGUUCACAUUCCUUGGUGGAGGGCAACUUAAGCCUUCGUCCCCGUAUGGAGUUUAUGCCUGCAAGCGGCCACUCACACUCGCGCCAUACCAGUCACUCUCUUCUAAGCUUCAGAAGCCAUGAAAGCACCAAGCUUAUGCUAACCUAAUAAGGACCACAAUGCUCAGAUAACAUCCCCAAUUGCCUGAAAUCACACCCCCAACCCCAGAAAAAUGAGAUAUUUACGGUUCAUUUCCCCACAUUUUUCUCGUAUUCACAAAACCCUAAACCCACAAAGCCCUCCUCUAUCCUCUCUCCAAUCAAAGCCCCAGAUUAGUUCUCAUUUCGUGUGCAAUUACACCACCGCUGCACCGGAGCAACGGCCACCUCCGUCCGAGACGGUAUCGGCGAUCGCGGAUGAGAUCUCGGGCCUGACUUUGCUCGAAGUCUCGGACCUCACGGAGGUUCUGAGGGAGAAAUUGGGCAUAAAGGAGAUGCCUGUGAUGGCGAUGAUGAUGCCGGGGAUGGGAUUUGGCGGCUUGAAAGGCGCCGGCAAAGGUGGUCCGGCGGCGGCUAAAGGCGAGGAGAAGGUGGAGAAGACGGCUUUUGAUGUAAAGCUCGAUUCUUUUGAUGCUGCAGCGAAGAUCAAAGUGAUUAAGGAGGUGAGGACGUUUACGAGUUUGGGGCUGAAGGAGGCCAAGGACUUGGUGGAGAAGGCGCCUACGCUGUUGAAGAAGGGGGUUACGAAAGAGGAGGCGGAUUCGAUUGUCGCGAAGAUGAAGGAAGUUGGUGCCAAAGUUUCUAUGGAGUGAGGUAAUUUGGGCAAUUUUUUGCUUAUACAUUUUGUGAAUUUGAAUCUGUGGUGUGGGUUGUAGUGUGUAUAGCUUAGUGAAUGAGUUUGGCAACAGGAGCUAGCUCUCAUUGUUUUUUGGGGUUUGUUAACUCAGAAAGUUUUCUAGUAAUCUGGUUUAGAAAUCCCUGUUUUGGUCAAUAUGAUUAACAAAGAUGUUGGGAAUGGGGCACAAAGCACAUUAAUGAAAACUCCGAGCUAGUCUUAGGCAUUUUGUUACUCAUAUGUAAAGGUCACUGAAACUUCCGGGCUCCUAUAUAGGCACUAUGAGUUUAGAGUUAUGUCCUGUGUUCGGAGCUGCUAAUCUAGGCACUAUUUGGGGCUUUAUAGCCUGACAUUGUUGGGGAUGACCUGGAGGAUGUCAGGGAAGAAUCAGAAAGAAAAUCUGUGUUUUAACUUGCAAACUAAUAUGAGUUGGUGGUUUGUGAGGUACAUCAUUGGCAGUGGCCUAUUAAAUGACUAAUGGGCACAAAUGUGCAAUAUUUCUAUUUUAGUGUAGAAUGAUAUUGAUUGUCCUGCUGCAGCACACAUAAAUGUGUGCGUGGUUGUAUAUGCAUCAGUUUUGCGGUUAACCUUGAGUAUCACCUGAGUAGACUCAUCAUUUGUCAAUGUUUUUAGGCAAUCACCUUUGAUAGCACUUGUUAGCAUUGCACCGUUACCACAUUUUCUUUCUUGUUCAAUGCAGUUAUGCAACUUGAAUAUCUGAUGGUUUAUAUUUUUUGGUGACUUUCCAGGGGGAGAGAAGGAUGUAGAAGUUCAACGUUCAGGUGGCAAAUUGUUAAAAAAUGUAGAGUAGCAAAUUAGUGGUUCAUUACACUGGAUGUGCAAUUGACAUAGUCUCAUAGAAGCCUACCGGAGAUCUUCAUGAUUCAAAGCAAUCUUUAGUAGAACUGCUUUGCUUAUCUUUCUUUGAGUUAGAAUAAUGUAUUUGCGGAAGCUUUGUUUCAUUUUUUUUUAAAAACAAUCAAUCCUUUCAGUUACUUCAUUACUUUUACAAACCAACAGUUGUAGACCUAGCAUUUUGAUAAUAGGUUCACAGAGUUGAAGUUUAUGAUAUGUACUUUGCAUGUUUCUCCAAACCAAAGAUAUGCCAACUGCCAAGAACAUUUUUACAACUUGACCUUGAUCCAUGUCUACACCGCAAAUUAUAACCUGAUCCAACCUAGAGAAAUGCCAUCGACUUUGUAGACCUUUUCAUGCUGCAGUGAGCUCAACUUUGUCCUGUUCUUGAACAAUGUCUGCAAUCUGGCAACCUUCUCGAAGUGAUCACAGAACAAGGCUUUUCAGUUUGGGCAUUCCCGAACGCCCACAGGGUAACAACAUCUUUGAACUUUAGGCCAUGAUGUCGAACAAAAUAUCGCCAAUAAAGCUUAUGAUAUUUGCGAAUUUUUGUGGUCAUGAACAGCAUACUGUGCUCAUUAUCAGCAAUGUCAUACUUUGUGACCCAGAUGCCUUGUGUAGGAUCUUCAUUACCAUUCAACAAUGUUCUUCUGCGUCACAUUUCUUCACCUCUAAUGAGAACAUCGCAUCAGAUUUUGUCAAGUGUCUGUCAAAAGGCUUGCUGCAUAUUUGAAUCAAGUGUUGGAUGCUUGGGACUGGUGGGAGAUCAGGAGGGACAUACUUGUGAAAUCCAUUGCAUGAACCUAAUUCUAGUUUUAGCUGUUCUUGUGUUGCAAUGGCUUGUUGGGCUUGCAGGGCAUAUGUGGCUGCAGGUUCUUGAAAUUGAAUUGAGGGUUGGAAGCUUGGGAAUGGUAGGAUAUAACGAUGAGGGACAGAGUUGUGAAUUCCAUAGUAUGAACAUAGCGCAAUGGCUUCUUGGGCUUGCAGGACAUGUGGAGAACAAGGUUCUUGAAAUGGAAUGAAGUGAUGAGGAGGCACAUAGUUUCCACAGAACCAACCUAGUCCUAGCUCCUGUAGUAGUAUAGGCAUGCCUUGUGCUGCAAUGGCUUUGUGGGCAUGUAGGGCAGCAGGUUCUUGAAGGCUCGGGACUAGCGGGACAGCAUAGUUUCCAUAGAAGAAGGAACCUUGUUCUGGUUGUGGUUGUUCUUGCUCUUCUUGUGUUGCAGCAAUGGCUUCUGUGCCUAGUAAGAAUGCUUCAAAUUCUUGGAUUUUCAAUGCUAGUUGCUCAUUUUCUUCUGCAUGCCCAUCUUCUUCCAACUCAUCAUCAGAAUCCAAAAGCACGUGCUCUAUGUAAGAAAGAGCUUUAGCCAUGUGUUCAUCAUCAUGAUCAUUAGCCAUGCCUGGCCUGGAGCUGUUUCCUGAAGCCACUUUUAUGGUUUCUUGUUUCAUGAUCUUUCUCACAAGAGGAAGUCUUCUUGGGAGAUUUUUUUGAAGAAAUGGGAAAUGGGAAAUGUGAAACGGGAAGUGCUUUCUGCUUCUCCACCUGGGUUUUAUAGAUAUCUUUCCAGAAUAAUUGAACCCAAAUUCAUUUAGCUUUGGCAAUGCAAUUGGAACACCCUCCUUACUUGGUGUCUGGACUAAAACCUGCUAUAACUAACUAACUAACAAAUUGGUUUUGAUGCAAAAAUAAAUAAAAUAAAGUAGAGUAAACAGUAACACCGUAAAAUCCCAUCCACUAAACUAGAUAUGAAGAGUCAAAACACUUACAAACGACACCGUUUCCGGACCUAACCAUUUUCCUGAAGUUGGUGCUACAAGAACAUUUUGCAAAGGUGGUCAUUUUUUAAUUUGGCUAUCAAGUAGUUCAUAGAAGACAGGACAGGACAGGACCGGAUUAUAAUUGUCAUCAAGUUUGCUUUGCUUUGCUUUGCUUUAAUUUGAUAACUUCUGAUCAAAAGAUGAGCCAAAUUAUGAUAUAUCUAGCAUAGGGGAAUGCUGUAUGUCCACUCAACCCAGAGCUUCACCAACAUUACAAAUACAAAACCAGAAAGCUUCCUGUUUCAAGGGAAUUUGCAAUAACUAUCACUUCAAUGCAUGUGCUCACUCACCUGUCUGUGACAUGUCUGUUUUAAAUUUAGAGAAUUUUUCUUCUAUGUGCUUAUGUUCAUAACUUUUUUUCUGUCUUUUCAAAAUUAUGUUUCAGAUGCCUUAAGAACCAUAAUGAGAGAGGGAGAGUGGGCUGCGCUUUAUAAAGAUGUUCUCUCCAGUCUUUUUCAGGUAUGUCAUUGUUUAUGAGCUCAGCAUACACACAUUCCUUGUGCUUGUUCGUCUGCGGUUCUGCUCCAUAUGUGGGUUUAAUUACACAGCAUUUCAACUCUACCUAGUAGUGUGUUGUAGGAUUAUUGAAGCAGUGUAUAUACUAACAUAUUUCAGAAAUGGGAAGCUAUCUUGUCAAUUCACUAUUCAACUACGUUUUUAUUUCAUGUCUUCGACACUUGUUUUCACGGGGGAAUUUUCGUUUAGUUUCUUUGUCCACUUUAUGUCAUCACCUGGAGAAUUUGGAAUUCUUGCUUUAUUAAAUUUACUUACUCGGGCAUAUUAAAUUCAUGAAGAUAUUCAUCUGUAUAUUCAUCUGUGAGAAGUCUAAGUGUUUUUACAGCUACUGUAGUGUAGAUCAUCAUUUGUUGAAUGGUAAUUUACGUCUUGUUGCGUUUUGGUCACCUCUGUUCAAGUUUAAGAGUCUGCUAAUCAGGCCUUGGAUUGAGACUCAUUACGCAAAUUAACCAGUCUGAUUACGAGGUCUUAUGGUCUAUUUCUUUUGGCACAGAAUUCAGUUGACUGUGCAGCUUUGGGGGCAUCAUCUAAAAUCUGAUUCGAUUGGUAAUGAACGUCAUAAGAGAUCAAGUAGCUACUCUUCUAUCAUAUCCAUUCCGAACCAAAGGAAUACCAACUGCCAGGAACAUUUUUACAUCUUGAACUUGAUCCAUAUCUAUAUACAAUACACCUCAAAUCACAACUUGAUCCAACUUAGAGAAAUGUCAUUGACUUUGAAGACCUUUUCAUGCUGCAGUCCAUAUCUCAACUCUGUCUUGGUCUUGAAGAAUGUCUGAGGGUUUUAAAAAAAACGGCAGCCUUCCCGAAGUGAUCACAAAACAUAGCUUUCCAGUUUGGGCAUUCCUGAACGCCCACAGGGUAACAUCUUUGUACCAUACCAGGCAAUGGCGUCGGACAAAAUAUUGCCAAUCUGGACCAGUAAGCAUAUGAAUUUUUUGAACUCCUGCGGUCUUGAACUGUCACACUGUACUCAUUACCAGCAAUGUCAUACAUUUUGAGCCAGAUGCCUUGUAUAAGAUCUUCAUCGCCAUUCAACAAUGGCCAGACAUGCCUUUAUACGUCACAUUUCAUCAGCUUUAAUGCUUGUGUUGUCACAUCAUAGUUUGACAAGAACUUCUGAAAAGGCUUGCUGCAUAUUUGAAUCAAGUUUCGGAGGCUUGGGACUGGUGGGAGAGCAGGAGGGACAUAGUUGCCAGUUCCAUCGAAUGAACCCAGGUCUAGUUCUGGUUGUUCUUGAAAUUGAAUUGAGCGUUGGAGACUAGGGAUUGCUGGGAAAUAAUGAGGCACAUAGGUUCCAAUUCCAUGGAAAGAUCCAAGUUCUAGUUGUUGUGGUAGUUGAGGCAUGCCUUGUGCUGCAGCAAUGGCUUCUUGGGCUUGCAGGGCAUGUGAGGCUGCAGGUUCUUGAAAUUGAAUCGAGGGUUGGAAGCUUGGGAAUGGUAGGAGAUGAUGAUGAGGGACAAAGUUGUGAAUUCCAUAGUAUGAACCUAGGUGAUGAGGAGAACAAAGUUCGUGAAAUGGAAUGAAGUGACGAGGAGGUACAUAGUUUCCACAGAACCAAUCCAGUCCUAGUUCCUGUUGUUGUAGAGGCAUGCCUUGUUGUGCUGCAAUGACUUCUUGGGCAUGUAGGGCAGCAGGUUCUUGAAGGCUCGGGACUCGCGGGACAGCAUGGUUUCCAUAGAAGAAGGAACCUUGUUCUGGUUGUGGUUGUUCUUGUUCUUCUGCAGCAAUGGCAUCUGUGCCUAGUAAGAAUGCUUCAAAUUCUUGGAUUUUCACUGCUAGUUGCUCAUUUUCUUCUGCAUGCACAUCUUCUUCCAACUCAUCAUCAUAAUCCAAAAGCAUGUGCUCUAUGUAAGCAAGAGCUUUAGCCAUGUCUUCAUCAUCAUGAUCAAUAGAAGCCAUUUUUAUGGUUCCUUGUUUCACAAUCUUUCUCAAAAGAGAAAGUCUAUGGAGAUUUUAUUGAAGAAAAAGGGAAGUGGGAGGUGCUUUCUAUUUCUCCACUUGGGUUUUAUAGAUAUAUCAUAUAUCCCUCCAGAAAAAUUGAACCCAAUUUCAUUUAGCUUUGGCAAUGGAAUUGGAACCCUCAUUACUUGGUAUCUGGACUAAAAUCUGUUAUAACCAACCAACAUGUAUUAAUAACCUUUUAUCACAAAAAUUAAAAUAAAAAAUUUUUUUUAAAAAAAAAAAAACAGUAGAGUAAACACCGAGUCAAAACACUUCCAAAAUGACACCGUAUCCAACCUUCCACUUGAAACGACGCCGUCUUUCGCAUCUGACAGCACUCAAGACAAGACUCAGAGGCAAAGCCCACCUCGUUAUUCGGUAGUCGUUCGUUAUAUAACGCCGUCGUUUUAGGAUUUCAAAUCGAAACCGCCAGGUCUUGUACCUGUAAGCGAUUGCAGAGAAAAGCCUGCUGCUUUCAGAACCCAAGCUGCAGAGCACAAGGCAACAGUGGUGGUUUAAGACCUGCCGGCUGCCGCUGUAGUCGGAACUACCAAGCUUUUGAAUCUGCCGUGAAAUUCAAAUGUCGUCGGCGUCGCAGUGGCAGUGGGAAACUGCCACCGCCGGCGCCAUCGCCGGGUUCGCCACUGUCGCGGCGAUGCAUCCUCUAGACGUUGUCCGUACGAGAUUUCAAGUCCACGAUGGUCGAGUCUCCAAUCUUCCAACUUACAAGAACACGGCUCACGCCAUUUUCACCAUUGCUCGAUUGGAGGUAUAUACAUAUAUCCUCGGUUCACCUUGUCAAAACCCACCUUAGGGUUUUUGUUGUUGAUGAUGAUUUGGUUCACAUUGCUUUGUCUUGCAGGGCUUGGGAGGACUCUAUGCAGGCUUUUCUCCUGCUGUUCUUGGUUCCACUGUUUCAUGGGGCUUAUAUUUCUUCUUGUAAGUAACAAUGUAUGGGCUUUUAGAAUAUAUGCCUUCAGCUCCAGUGUAAAUUGAAUUUUUUUACUUGAUGAAUGUUCCUGCCACGCAUACCAAUGGAUUCUAUCUUCGCAAUGCAGUUGUAAUUGGUUUUUUUUCAUUUGGAUUUUUGUGUUUUUUGUUUUUUCGUUCUUGUUUGCUGAAAGAUGUUACGAAUUAAACAAAAUCUCUGUAUUAUGUAGCUAUGGAAGAGCGAAACAAAGGUAUUCUAAAAACAGGGAUGAGCAGCUGAGCCCUGGUCUUCAUCUCGCUUCUGCAGCAGAAGCUGGUGCUUUGGUGAGUAUUCUGCAAACGUUGAUUGAAAAGACAUUAAUGGAAUUUUUUUUUCUUCUGAAACUGUUAUCUGAUCCUGGUGGUUGUUUUUAUUUGCAUAUGGCACACACAUGAUUCCCGCACUCUGCAUCCUUAGGUAUCCAAUUUUUUGUGCUUUGAAAUCAAGACACUUGUUGAAACUUUUAACGAAAAUAUCUGGUUAGUUAAAAGAAUCCUUGAAUAUACCAGACUCCCAGUUGGAGUUUAGCACCUUCCUGAAUAAGAACAUUGUUCCGAAGGUGGUCAUUUUGUUCUUUUGGCUUGGUGCAAUGAUUUACAAGUGUUUAGAGGAAUAUAACUCCAUUUUCUGUUCCCUUCUAAUAUUUUUAGAAGGUAGGCAGGAUUUUAGCACAUGGUUACCUAUAGAUGAUAGCAAACUUGUGAUUUUGUCAGGUUUCUUUGUGCACAAAUCCUAUUUGGCUUGUAAAAACAAGAUUGCAGCUUCAGACUCCUCUUCAUCAAACUCAACCAUAUUCUGGGUUUUAUGGUCUGCUCCAUAUCUUACUUAAACUUGAUAGUGAUGCCUGCAAUUAGUUUUUUUCAUGCUAAAUAUUACUUAUUUGUUUAUUUAUUUAGUUUGUGGUGAAGAUAAACUACCCCUGAUGUAGACUUCCAGAAUUUGACUCUUUUAUAAGAUUGGUUUGCUUGGCUAUCAAGUAGUUCAUAGAAGAUAGGACAGAAUUAUAAUUGUCAUGAAGUUUGCUUUGCUUUAAUUAUAUCUUUUUAUCAGAAAGCCAAUAAAGAUAUCAAGCAUACAUGUUCAGUCAACCCCAAACUUCACCACCGUUACAAAUACCAAACUAGAAAACUUCCUGGUUCCAGGGAUUUUGCAAAAGCUAUCACUUAAAUGCAUUUGCUCAAUCACCAUUGACGUGUCUAUUUCAGAGAAUUUUUCUUCUAUGUCCUUAUGUUCAUAACUUGUUUUUUCUUUUUAUUUUUAAUCAUAUUUCAGAUGCCUUAAGAACUAUAGUGAGAGAGGAAGGGUGGGCUGCGCUUUAUAAAGGUCUUCUUCCCAGUCUUUUUCUGGUAUGUUGUUGUCUAUGAGCUUUUUCUAUGGUGGUCUGCCUUUGUUUUCUCGCACAGAUGUACAGUAUAAUAUUUAAAGAUUAGAAAAUAAUGACUCUCUCUCUCUCUCUCUCUCUCUCUCUCUCUCUCUCUCAUAUGAAACAAUCAAUAUGGGUAUCACUUUAUCCGCAACUAACAACAAAAAUGUUUGGUUUUCCUUAAUCAUUUAUAAGAGUUGUACAGAGGAGUUGGGGUUCACUGUGUUUUCUUCCCAUGGACACUUAAGAGCCUCUGUUUACAGCUUCUAACCAUCACUAAAAGAAUACCAUGUUCAUGAUUUGUGAUGUUAUUCAAAGAUUUUGGCACUUAGAGUUUAUCCAUGUAAAAGGAAACUGAAGAAAAUUGCGAAAAAAUUGUAGUGGGAAAAUAAGGCGGGGUGUCUUACAUAUCUGAUGAUAUACACUGCUGAGUGGCGAGAUGGAAAUGCUUCUGGAGAUUAUUGUGUACUUCUACACUUAAUUGCAUUUGAAGAUUAUAAGUGCAUUAUAGCAUACACAUGUAUCACUCAUGCCAAAAAUCUGUUUAGUCUUUCAUGCUUCACAACUUUGCAGCUUACAGAUCUUCGUGUUGUUUCAGCAGGUAUCUCAUGGUGCUAUUCAAUUCACAGCAUAUGAAGAACUCCGUAAAGUAGUUGUUGACUUCAAGUCUAAAAAAAGGAGAAGGCAUUCUGGAAGUGCUGAUUCAGUGUUGGUAUUUCUCUGUUCAUGCAGCUAAUGUUCUGUAGUAAUGGACCUAUUUUAAUCCAUAGAUCUACUUGUUCUGGAAUUGUUACUUUACAUUCCCAUUUCACAUAUAGUUCAAUACAGAGGUCCCUUUUGGUAGUUGGUAAAUUUAUUUUCUAGUCAAUUGUCUAGUAUUUACUGCACCAAAUGAAGAAUCCCAGGUUGGUGCGGAAAUGUGAUUUGGUAAUUGGUGUACAAAUUUUUGUAUAUGUACGUAUGGGCUUGUAGAUGUUUGGCAAUAACAUGAAUCAGAUUAUAGUACGUCUCUUCUGCUCAUUAUGCCUGUUUUUUGUUCAUGAUUGAGGAAAACACAUACAUUCCUUGUGCCUGAUCAUCUACUACAUAUAUGGGGUUAAUAACACAGCAUGUUAACUCUACCUAGUGGUGAGGUGUAGGAUUAUUAUAGAAGCGCAUAUACUAUAUAUUUUACUAAUGGGAAUCUAUCUUAUCAAUUCACUGUCAUUUUAAUUUCUUUUCUUCUACACUUACUUUCAUGGGGGAACUGUCAUUUAGUUUUUUUGUCCACUUUAUUUUACCCGAAGAAUAUGGGAAACCUUCGCUUUAUUGAAUUUACUAAUGGGAGGAUAUCAAAUUCAUGAAGAUGCAUCUGGGAGAAGUCUAGGUGUUUACACAGCUACUAUAAUGUAGAUCAUCUUUUGUUGUAUGGUAAUCUUGUUGCUCUUUGGUUCCAUCUGUUCAAGUUUAAGGGUGUGCAAAUCAGGUCUUGGAUUGAGCUCAUUAGGCAAAUUAACCAGCCUGGUUACGAGGUCUUAUUGGCUAUUGUUUUUUGCACAGAAUUCAGUUGACUAUGCAGCUUUGGGGGCAUCAUCUAAAGUUGCUGCCAUUCUUCUAUCUUAUCCAUUCCAGGCAUGCAUAAAUAUAUAUUUUUGGCAUUGAUGUAAAAUUCUUCUAGAUGUUCAUUUCAUUUGUAGAUUACUACUUGUGUGGUUGUGAUGACUUUUUUCUUUCUUUUCAUUUUUCAGGUGAUGCGAUCUCGAUUGCAGGUAUAUCCAUAAUGUUUUCUCUAUAUAUCGUCUCAAUAUAUAGAAGUUUCCCCAGUCUGAAACAGUCCGAGCUUUUAUUACUAAAACCCUUCAGCAUAACUUUUGAAGUUGCCGUUUGUGCUUAUACAUGUUUAUGGAUUGCUCGUAUUCCUUAUUAAUGAGAUUUUUCUCAUUUUGUCAGCAACGACCUAGCAGUGAAGGAAUUCCAAGAUAUAUGGAUAGCUGGCAUGUGAUAAGGGAAACUGUACGGUAAGUAUGAAAUUUAGCUUUCAUAUGAUGCAAAUAUCUGGAAAUAAUUUCUUUAUGCAAAUCUCUAUCUGAUUCGAUUGGUAAUGAAUGUUACAAGAGAUCAGGUAGCUAGAUGGCCUUUCCUUCCAUGAUAUUUAUCCCCUUCGAUUUUUUUUUUUUUUUCUUGUCUUAGGAUGCUAACCUUUCCUUCUUUGUUGGGGCUGUAGGUUUGAGGGCGUUAGAGGUUUCUACAAGGGAAUCACCCCAAAUCUUCUGAAAAAUGUUCCUGCUGCUUCAAUAACAUUUAUUGUAUACGAAAAUGUACUGAAAUUUCUAAAAUUUGCUAGAACGAAUGAGUAAGGUCUUCUUUUGAUCCUCAAUUUUGAGCACUCGUUCUAGCUACAACAACAACAUUAUUUGAGGUUGGAAAUGUGGUAAUAAAAUGUGUUGAAAGGUAUAUUCAACAAAGCAUUAAGUUGUGAAAAAAAGGAAAUACAAAACUCAUUCAAAGUGGAGGAAAGUCUUAUUAUGUCGAAAAUUUGCGCAGGAAGGAAAGAAUUUCGUCUGAGACUUCUUGAGCCUUCUCUUGCUGGAUAAAAUGGUGGCCAUCUAAAAUCACGACUUCCAGGUCUGGCACAAGACUCUUGAGAACACUUCCUUUCACAUAUUCCCUUGUGCCCAGAAUUUCAAAGCCAAUGUCUUUGUCACCUACAAUCAACUUUGCUGGAACAGUUAUCUUUGAUCCUUGCCAUGGUCCCAUGAGCUCCCAGUACCUGUUUCCGAUUUUCAAAAUUAACAGAUGUAAAAGAUUAGCCAACUUACAUCAAUAAAGCUCCUGAAAACAAGACAAAUCAAAUUGGGAUUUUCUUAAAAUUCAAAAGCCAUUUGAAUAUUCUUUGCGGUUGACUUGUCAAUUAAGCUAGCUAACAACCCACCCCACCACCAAAUCAAACCGCGUACAAAAAUUUGUGCAGGUAAACCAUAAAUUCUUCAAUUUGUUAAAGUUGAUAUGAUAUGAUAUGAUCCUAUUUCUACCUUUUUUAUGAGCCAAAACCCAAAUAAAAUUGGGGGAAUUUUGGGUUGUUAGUUGGUGUGUCUACAGACUCUAUACUUACUGCUCAAUUGUACGAAAAUAAUUGAGGGCACCAGUGAAGCCAGAUUCUUCAAACUUUUCAGCAUAGACUUGGAGGUCCUCCUCAGAAAUCCAUGGUGGCAACACAGCUGGUGUCUCCAAAUAAUCAAUGAUCUCCAUUCCAGGAGGAGCUACCAAAUAAUCUGUCUUGUUGUACAGCAAGAAUUUCUUCAUCACUGUCAAAUAAUCAUAUCUUGCAAACGACUUUUCUGCUCUUCCUGGUUGCUACCACCAUACACAAAUUACAAAUACAAUUACACAAACACAUAACACAAUUGCUAACUUGAAGAACAUGUUCAUGUCUUGACUAAAAAAGAACCUGAAACUGAUAAACAUAACACCCGUCACCGAAAAUUCGCCUCGCAGAUUCAGAAUCCCUGGUGCUGGAAGAUCUUUCGAAGUAUGGAGCAGAAAGUGCAAUCAGCGCCUUGACUCUGUCAGGCCUGAACAGGCUCAGAUGCCAAGCUGCAAUGGCUCCAAAGUCAUGUCCCACUAUAAAUGCCUUUCAAAUAAGAGAGACAAACAAUCAAAACAGUCACUAUAAAAUAAAACACAGAAGAAGAAAACAGGAAAGAAAGAAAAAAAACCUUUUGUUCACCAAAAUGAUCAAGAAUGCCAACAAGGUCUCCAACAAGGUGUUGAAUAGAGUAGGAGGUAGGACUCAGAGGAGAGUCAGUAUCACCAUAGCCUCUCAUAUCAGGAGCAACAACAUGGUAGCCAUGCUUAGCCAAGUAACCAAUCUGGUGGCGCCACGAAUACCAUAUUUCUGGGAAGCCAUGGAGGAGAAGCACAAGAGGGCCUGUCCCUUGCUCUGCUAUGUGCAUCCAUAUCCCAUUUGUCUUGAUCCUUUGGUGAGUCACCUCAUUCAUAUUCUCUUCUCUUCAAGUCUCAGAAAAUAAAAUAAAAAUAAAACCAACUGGUGUGCUUAAUGGUGUGACUGGACUGGCCUUUUAUAGCUCAAUUAUAUAUGUGUAAUUAAUAUGUGGAAAAUGAUUUGGCAACUCUCUGAAUUUCAUACGGUCAAAGAUGAGAACUUUGAAGCAGACCAAAGGUGAGAGUAACGUAUCAAAUUCUCCAAAGCUAGUCAUGGUGCAGAAAGGUACAAUUUUCUUGACCUGAUUGCUAUUCUUAUUUGCUGGAUGGUCUCAAUUAACUUUUAUUGGUCUUCUCAAUUUCUUAGUUUUCAUGUAUUUGUUGACAAUUCCCGUGGUUCCACAGGAAACUAAAUAUCAGUGCUUGACAGUCUCCUCUUGAUCAUUUUCCUGGAAACUACCAUCUACCAUUAUUUUUAUUUUCUUCUUCUUUUUUGGUGUAUAAAAUUGUUUUAUGGCUGCGUGCUUAUAUGGUUUUGUAUGUUAUUAUUGCAACCCAUCUUGUGUUAUAUCGUGGAAAUGCGACAUCGGCGUUUGGUCAUAGAGUAAACUAAUUGUAAAAAAAACAAAAUUGUGUAGGUGUAGAAUUAUCUUUCAGAAGUUUUUAGUAUUGUAAGUACAAAUUAACAGAAGGAUUUGGUUGUAUUGAACUGCAACCAAGAAAUAUAAACCAUUUGCUUUGUGUCAAUCUAUGAAGUUUUUCGCUUCUGUUAUGGAACAAGGCCUAUACCCUUCCCCAAAUCAACAAGUUUGAAUGCAGCCACCUUACAAUUAACAAAAUCUUUGGUUAUGUUCAUGUCACUGAUAAAUUUAAAAAUUUCCAAAACUUAUUUCACAAACCAGGUGGUAGUUAAUUUGGCAUGUCAAAGAGGCCAUUACAUUAGGUUAUAAACAGAAUUUCUAAAUGCCUUAAGAAGAAGAAAGAACAAACACAAAGCACAGAAAAUUAUCCAACCCUGAUACAGAACAAAGAAAAGGAUGGUUUUAAUUGAACCCCAUAUUGGUUCAAUGUACCCCACAAACCAUUUGGGAUUUAUUCAGAAGCACACUAAACAAUUUCAUUGAUCUACAGGAUGUUCACGCAGGAAGGAAAGUAUUUGGCUGGAGACUUCUUGAGGGUUCUCUUGCUCGAUGAAAUGGUGGCCGCCUAUAACAACCACUUCAAGGUUGGGGACAAGGCUCCUGAAAUCAUCACCUAGCACAUAUUCACUUGUUCCAUAUGACUUAAAGCCGAAAUCUUUGUCACCAAUCAUGAACUUCACAGGUACCGUAAUUUUCGAUCCUUGCCAGGGUGCAAGAAGCUCCCAACUCCUGUUUAUCACAAUCACUAGUAUCAGUCAACAAAACAACAGGACCAAAAGUUACUGCAGACCAACAUGGGUGAGUUGGUCUGUUGUAUUGGCCAAAGCCUGCACAGGUGAGCUGGCUGCA